This 70670-nucleotide long non-coding RNA is filed under the name Setaria viridis. Its description in RNAcentral is "long non-coding RNA (SVIR_LNC001640)". Lineage: Eukaryota; Viridiplantae; Streptophyta; Magnoliopsida; Poales; Poaceae. The record is from RNAcentral.
UUUUUUUUUGGUGGUGUGCCGAUCUUUAUUUUUAAUAACGUUAUAAAUAAAAAUGUAAAAUCAGAAGCUGGCCGGAUUGGUUUCAACGUGUGGAAUUUUCGAUCGGUGAAGCAGGCCGCGGGCGUAGCAAAGGAUUGCAAAAUCGAUCCGUGUCGGCAGAUUUGAUGAGUGCAGUAUGCGCGCGUGUGGGCGUGUUACUUGUGCAACCGAUGAUGGACUGAAAGCACGCCAACACCCACGAACGUGCUAAAGCAUUCGGCAAAGCCGAGCUAGCAACUCGCGCGCAGGGCCGCAGCGGUCCGCGGCACGUGCAUCCCGCUUGUGGUCGUAGCUCAGCUAAAACAGCAUCACGCAACUAUUAUUGUCAGCACCCAACGGGCUUUUGCGACAACCAACAUGCAAGAUUGCAACUCAGGCGACCUAGUGCUAGAUAGCUCACAGGGUAGCAGACGAUAUACGAAACACCUUGUUUCGGGCCCUCAUCGAAUUUCAAAGAGCCCGAAAACAACCUCGAUUAUAGCUAAUUUUGAUUUUUUUUCCUAAAACAAACUUCUCUAGUUUCGAUUAAGUCUCACAUUUACAGCACCGAAUUAGUUUUUGUUAAAUAUACCAUCUAUAAGUAUGUCUUGGUGCACUUAUUUGUAUUGCAAAUUUUAAUAUAUUUUUUUCUAAACACGUAUUUCGAAAAAAAAACUGAUUUUUGAUGCACAUUAAAAUGCUAUUUUCGUUUCCAAAUUAUUAUAUUACCUCUUCUCCUUCAUUAUUAUGAAGUUCUAUUGCCAUUAGAAUACAGACAAUUAAUAAAAAGAAAAACUCUAAUAGGAAUUCCUAUAUAUGAAAAUAAGAUCUUCCGUUUGUAAAAUUUGUACAAAAUGUCGACUGAUUCGCAGGCGUGAAAUAGAGUCGUUUGUUCCAAUCCAAAUUAUAAACAAAGAAAGGGGGUAAUCUUUCGAAAAAUGAGCUUUUCUUUCUAAAAUUUUUAAAAAAGUACCUACGGAUCAAAACUAGUGAACUAAUAAUUUAUGAAAACAGAGAGUACCAAACGACCCUUCUAGCGACCAACAAAAUUUGUUGCCAUGAGCGUGAAAGAAGUGGCACAUUAAUUCGUUGCCAUCAUGUAUUCACGUUCAUCUUUAUUCAAGAAGAAGCACGCACAAGAACAACAUCUCCCGUCAAAACCACCAGCUUAUUCGUGACAGGGCCACGCACGCUCAUCACACGACGAGCGAGAAUGCGGCGCCGACGCAGAGCAGCGCCGCCGCCAGACGCGGCAGCAGCGCGCUCCCUCCGACCGCGAGCGCGGCGGCGGAGUUGGCAGGGGUGGGCUCGGGCGCCGGCCCCGGCGCCUCCCGCAGGUCGUGCUUGAGCUCCUCGACGGUGGCCUUGUCGGUGUGGAACGACUUCUCCAGGACGGCGUCGUCGAUGCCGGUCUCGAAGAGCGCCGCCGGCAGCGAGGUGGUGCCGGGGCUGGCGCUCCCGAAGGCCGAGAAGGCGCGCGCCGCGGUGGUGCCGUUGUUGAGCUGGAAGUGCACCAUGCCCUUGGGGAACACGAACACGUCGCCGGUCUCCAGCGCCGCCGUGUGCACCGCGCCGCCCCGGGCGGAAUCGACGAGGCCGACGACCAGGGGGCCCUGCACCACCACCAGCAGCUCCGAAGCCCUGGGGUGGAUGUGCGGCGGGUUGACGGUGCCGGGGCCGUAGACGAGCGCGGCGUAGGAGACGGACUGCCCCAGCAGCGCCGGGAACUCGGCCGCCGUGGCCUUGGAGACGGUGAACUUGGCCGCGGUGUCGCCGGCGAGCCCGCUCACGAGGCGGGUGUAGGUGAAGAAGGAGCCGUUGAUCUGGGCCGGAUCCGCGCCCGGCGGCAGCACGUAGUCCGUCAGGAUGUCGGGGUCGCCGGCGCGCGCGGAGCGAGGCAGCUGGUGGAUGACCACGACGGCGAGGAGCAACACGAGCGGCCGGAAGGCGAGCGCCAUUUGAUGCGUUCUUCCCGGAGGUGAGGUGGACGCGACGGAGGUAGCUGUUGCGGUCUCGUUUGCUAUUUUAUACUAGGUAGCUGGUGGCGUCCCCGGCCUUGGAAGAGCUGUGCUGUGUGUCAGUAUGUGUCUGUACAUGGGCGAGGUAGCCCUGCCGCGCAGGGGAAGCUGGAGUGAGCUUUCUUUUGUAGUUUCCUAAGGCCCCACCCCAUUUGGAUCAAUCGAAAUCUCCAGCUUAUUUGUCUUCGAAGAUGGCAUUCCAUAACUUUGAGAUAUAAGUUUAUCUUAAAUUCAUUCAUCAUUCAUGAGGUGGGAGAUAUAAAUUGAUUCUACAGAUCCUUGUACUAUGUUUCUAAUGUGCAACUUAUAGCAUGCUCUUUGACUCGCUUCCCUAUAGCAAAAGCAUAGCAUAUAAGUAUCUCUCCCCGUAUGACAACAAUAACAUACAAAUAUAUUCCACGUACAAUUAUAUUAACUUAAUUAAUUUUAUCUAAAUUAUGAUUAAACGAGGCCUACGCGGAAAUGGGAAGAAAGUGUCGUGUGUCAUUCACAACAGUUCAACAGCUAAAACGCAGAGUAUGCCUCAGGCACAAUGCAUCAUGUCUUACAGCUUACAACCGUCAGGUAUAUUCCUGCGUCACGACAUAGAUGUGCUUCGGAGAUAACAAGAGUUCUCAUGCACAGGCUGUGGCCUGUGGGUUGCACAUUUCCUUCAGAACAAUCGCUCGCAAUUUUCCCCGUAAGCUGCAGUAGCUGCCCGUUCAGACAUGGAGUUAUCGGCUCUUAUCAUUCAAAUAAGAUAAAACUGCACGAGAUAAUAAUUAGAAAUAUUAAAUAUAGGUUCAUUACAAAAUCAAUUGCAUAAAUAAAGACUAAUUCGCGAGACGAAUCUAUUAAGUCUAAUUAGCCCAUGCUUUGAUCAUGUGAAGCUACAAUAAAUAUAUGCUUAUCAUGGAUAGAUUCGUCUCGCGAAUUACCCUUCAUUUAUGCAAUUGGUUUUGUAAUUAACCUAUAUUUAUACUCUGAAUUAGUUUCAAUGUGAUGUGGACUAAACUUUAGUCCUGGAACCAAACACCCCCUAAGAGUUUCCUGAUAAACAACUUCCUUUUAUUUUCUCAAGAGAAAAAUUGUUUCUUGGAUAUUAUAACCCAGAGUCUGUCGAGUAUAUGAUGGUGUAAAUGUGUUUCUUGAUUAUAAUCCCGAGUCUAUUGAGUAUGAUGGUGUAAAUGGUAACGCGUCGGCAUCAUUUCGGACAUGUUAAUUUGUAUCCAUUAUAUCCACAUCAAGCUAAUUAUUGAAGCACAAAUAUCUUCAUAAGAAUGGCAUGCUCAUCGUUAGGAAAAAUUGUUUCCAUUACGAAGUCUUGUACACUCCGAUCAGUGUAUCAAACCAAUGUCUGCUUUAGGUUCCCAUAUUUUGCUUUAGGUUGGGACAAAGUUCCUUUAAAGUCUGCAAAACUUCUUUGAUACCUGGCUUCCUUUACGUGUGUGGAACAUUAUAAUUUGAGGAAUUUUUUUUUGCUGUUAUUUCUAGCUUGGUAGAAUUCAACUACCAGAAAAUAAUCAAGUAGAAUUCAUUUUACUAGUUACUGGAUUGUCUCUGAAUUAUUAUUAUGUUGCUUGAGUAGAGCCUUGAGCGAGUGAUGUUCGACAAGUCUUCGGGAGAAAUUAAUCAAUCAUCUUUAGAUUUUGGAAUACUUUCAGUAUGUUGGAUGCAAGUAUGCAGCAUAUAAAGAACUAACUGCAGUAGUUAUCAUAAGCUUGCUGCAUGGCUGGAAAGAUCCUGAAAGGAGCUAGAUACCAUCAUUUACAUCACAAAUAAAGGGGGAAAAAAGACAGCUUUAGGUAGCUCAAAAUGUUGACAACAAAUUUUAGGAUUCCCAUAUCACAGAUAGGUAGAGCAAAACAAUGCAUUACGAUAACUGAUCAAACAUAAUACAUCGCACCGACGAUUCAAGAUUGAUUAUUUUGACCCCACAUUCCCAUACAGACUCAUCACUCAGUCACAACCCCACCAUUUUACCCUUGGCAGGUUAUUCAAGAACGACGCGGCCGGAACACACGAUUACGAAGGGCAGAUGCACGCGAGCGACUCAUGGCUUCUUGGGCGGGGUGAGGGCGGCCUUGAGCUUCUCUACCGUGGCCACGUCGGUCUUGAAGGACCUGGCGAGGACGGCGUCGUCGAUGCCGGUGCCGAAGACGGUGACGGGCACGGACACGGUCCCCGCGGCUGCGCUCCCGAACGCCGAGAGCGCCCUGGCGGAAUUGCCCCCCUGGUUGUACUGCCAGUGCACGGUGCCCUUGGGGAAGACGAACAUGUCCCCGGUGGCGAGGUCCUGGGUGAAGAGCUUGCCGGCGGUGUCGACGAAGCCGACGGAGAGCGUGCCGUCGACGACGAGCAGCAGCUCGGAGGCGCGCGGGUGGGUGUGCGUGGGGUUGACGGAGCCCGGCGGGUACGAGAGCACGGCGAAGGACACGCUCUGCCCGUUGAGCGCCGGGAACUCCGCCAUGGAGGCCUUGGUCACCGUGAAGUUCGCCGGCGCCUGCGCCGCCAGCGCGGCGCGCAGGCCGGUGUACGUGAAGAACUCGCCGGAGAUGUUCCCGGGGUUCGCGCUCAGGGGCACGAUGUAGUCGGUGAGGAUGUCAGGGUCGCCGCCCACGACGGCCAGCGGCGCCGAGAGCGCGACCAGCACGAGCACCAAGGAGCUCAAGCUGUUGAUCACUGCCAUUCUCGUUCACUAACCUGCUAACAAUAGAGAGUGACUGAAGGACAGUUGUUUAACUAAAUGCGAUGUGUGAGUGAUGAGGAGUAGCGAUCACGCGUCCCCUAUUUAUACAGAAACACGAAUGCAUCUGGUGGUCGGUUGGAGUAAAUGAAAAGAAGACGACGAUGGAUGUACCCGUUGCUGCAUUGGGAAACUAAGACAGAUUAGUUGAUUAUUUCCUCCAGCUUAGAGAUGAUCGAUCAUUGAUAAAACUUAUGAUGACUGACAGCGAUGGAUAUAUGAGCUGAAUGUUUCCCCAGGCACCCAGGGUCCUGGAUACUCCUGCACUGCUACGUUGCCGCGCGAGUGAGAUGCCUGACGGGGCCAGCUAUAUAUUCUGGCCGCAGCUUGCACUUUCCCAAUUGUUUGCGAGGAAGAAGACGCGAAUUGAGGCCGUACAAGGAGCUGUCGAUGUAACUGUUCUUCGUACGGAGCAUACAAGUCGCACAGCUGCGAGAAUAUCUCCCAUGCCACCAACAGUUACAGCUGGAGACUUGGGAUUCACAAUGCAGGUGGCCUGCCUUGUUGUUUGCACAAGGGAUGCACGCUGCCAUGAAAAGGCUGUUCUUCACUGGCAAAUUACUUCAAUUAAGCUAACGUUAUCCAUCCAGCAAGGAGGUGUACGCAGUCAAAACAUGUAUGUCCAGAACUCCAGAUGCAUGCUGCGUUCGAACUGUAGGGAUGUUCAUUCCCAAGGCUCAUUUCCAUGGCACUUUGUUGUGCUAGGAAUGCAGCUUCUGUCUUGCCCUUUUUUUUUUAAUAAAACGUGGUAAUAAGUAAAUACUUGCGAAAGUAAAUACUUGCCCUUUUUUUAAGAAAUCUUUAGAAGAAACUCCAUGUUUCGUUGUUUCUGAUUUGCGCGGUGCAGAAGAAACAGGGAUUACAGGCGCGAUGGUAGCGGGGAGGGGGUUGUCCUAGCUAGGGGCCAUCCGGCACCGUUUCGUGCACUUAGAACUAGUUUGAUUCCCCCACCCGCACCAUGUCUGCACCACCUCGUUCACUUGUCCUCUCUUAUCUCGUGUCCCUCCGUCCGCAGAAAUCUAACUUCCCUCACGAGCUAGGAUGGCUUGGUGCACGCAUGGUUCAUAGGCCCAUAUGUCAGUCACCUAAAACUUCGAUACUUGCAUGCAUCCAAACAAAAUCUCAUGUCAUACAGGAUCAACAGCAAAAACAACUAUCUACACGAGCGCAUCCUGAUUGCUUUCAACCUGCACUGUCCGGCCAUCCUGGCCCGAGGCACGCACCACAAUGCGUUCUAGUGCAAUCCAAACCAUGGAACUCUGAACUUGAGAAUCUCAUGUGUGUUGCUGCCAGCAUUGUGUGUACGUACCCAAAGGGAGUCCUGCUUGCUAUAUGUAUGCAAAAGUGGCAAAGUGACCUAAAUUCUUAAUCCCAGAAAAACCCAAUCACAUCAGAUCAAUCACCAAUGCAAUCUAGAGACUUGCAUUUGGCUAUACCCGCUAUUUGUUUUUCUUUGAAAAAGGUACAAAUCUGCCUGUAAAACCAUGUAGUUAACUCUCACUGGAUACACAUAUAAACUUUCAUUUGCCAUAUAACACUUCAUUUGACCCGGCCGACAACAGGCCUACAAACUCAAGAACAUGCAUGGAAUUCUCUGCGGGACCCAGCAGUUUUACAAAACCCUGCUUAUUUCCAGGCCCAAUGUCAUUUGGAGUUGUACGCGCGCGCGAGAGGCCGGCCCAGCAAGGCUCCGCUUGGCUGUUGGCUGUGGCUUAGCGCUCGCUCGCGUAUACUUCCUUCGUUCUAUUUCACCUGACAUAAUGAUCAAGAAAUAACUCUACUUAUCAUCUAAUUAAUGCAAACAAUUUUUUUUACAUUAGUCCUCCAAUGGUUGCCACGAUGACUCCUCGUUGUUGAUGCAAUUUAUUAUCGCGGUUCACAUUGUUGGUAAAUAGGACUCUUCAUUUGUGAAAAUCCGAAUUUUAGAAAGGACGCAACUAGGCGAAGAUGAUGCUCCUGUUAAAAGCAUUGGGAGAGCCCCUCCCCCCUCCAACCUUAUAUGUUUGCGGGACCCACCAUGAUAAAGGCCAUCAUGACGAACACCAGUAUGCACUAAUUUCCCAUUAAGCAAUAUUUUAACUCUUCCUUUUCCAAAUAGUAUAUCAUAUCCAACAUAAUUCAACUGAGAGACAGAGACUAAAUUUCUUGUGAAUAUAAAGUGUCAUUUAACAAUAACUUUCCUCCACCAGGAAGUUUUAGGACAUAAUUUCCAAUUCCAAGUCUAUCGGCUCUAGCAUUAGUGCCUAAGUAUAUCUAUUUCCCCUUGGAAUUGUUUGCAUGGAAGUAAAAGAUUUAUGAUCUCUAGCAAUAUGUGAUGUAGAAUCAGGAUCGACAACUCAACUAUUUGGAAAAGUGGUAGUAAAUAAAGAUUCAGUGCAUACAAAAAAUAGAAUGCGUACCUCCCUUUAGAAUCAUCAUGGCGUCCUUCCUGCUUCUUAUUAUCAUUAUGCUUCCUCUUCUUCCUGCAGUCAGUUCUAAAAUACCCAUACAGACCACAGUUAUGACAGGCGAAAUCCUUUUUAUUCAUGUUAUUCCUCUGAGAUGAGUCAUAAUUUCCACGAUCAUCACGAUUGCGUUUAUUAUUAAGUAUGUCUCUCAAAUCAACUCUAGAUUUGUUCUUUUGCCAAUUCCUUUUAUUUGCAUUGUACAUUUCCUCUCCAAGGUGCAACUUAGAAUUAUUUGAGUUUCUUUCCUUUCCCUGGGAGAGUUUCCUAUCUUCUCCCAUAAGCGAGUGAUGCCUCAAAUUGCGCAUAUUAAGACUACGCUCAGAAUGACAAAACGACAUCUUAAAUUGUUCCCAUCAAUUUGGCAGAGAGUUCAGAACAACCAUAACUUGCACUUCUUCCUGAAAAGGAUAGCCAACAAUUUUUAAUUCCUCUGGUAAAACACAGAGUUUAUUGAUACGCUCAUUAACAGAACCACCAUCGCUCAUCUUGGUAGAGAGAGAACGAUUAACAAGAAUGAGCACUUUUACAAGAGAUACAUCACCAAAAUCUUUUUUUCAGUUUGCUCAAUAUUUUCCGAGCAAUCUGUUCACCCUCGUACUCAGCAGCUAAAGAAUAUGUGAUAGAUCCCAACAUAAAUAUACAAACCCUUUUAUUAUCUUUAGCCCAAACUUCAUAUUCUACCAAAUAAUCUUUCUUUCCUCAUCAGUGGCAUCAUUCUUUGUUUUUUUCGGUUCAGGCACAUCAAUGACAUAAUCAAUCAAUGACAUAAUCAAUAUUCUCAACAGUAAGCAAAUACAUGAUUUUUCGUUUCCAAACUGUGAAAUUGAAGCCAUCUAACUUGCAAGUUCUAAGCAGCUCAGAAAAAAACAGUAUUAGAUGCAUUGAGAGUGAUGAUAUUCUAUACCAGAGAGAGGACGAUGUGCAGAUUGAUUAAAAAAAAAGUUCAACUCUUUGCUUCCUCGAUCCACGUGCGUAGAGCACCAAGUGAAGCCCCCGCGUGUUUGAGCUCCUUCCCUAAUCUUCACGUGCACCAGCAAGCAGCACGCAGGUACAGGAGCUCCUUCCUCCAAUCUUCACGAGUGCGGGAGCAGCACAAAUCGUAGGAAAAAAACAGUUGGGACUUCCUCGAUUUACACGUGCACGGCGGGAGGGGAUGCAAUAUACGCUCCCCAGCUUCCACGCGGAAAUCGAGUUGCGACGGCGAUGUGGUGUACGUGACACCACGACGGAGAGGCGGCGGCGGCGCAGAGAAUUUUCUCGGAGCUAGGGUUUGGUCCGAGUUUGCAACGAAAAAUUAGAUGGAACUAACCGUAUCCCUCUGAUACCAAUGUUGGAAAUUGUGAGCUAUUCGGUCUACCCUCUAUUCCUCUGUCUUAUCCGUGGUGCCGCUCACAAUUCAUAAUGAGGGUGGAGGGUACGCAUGUCACCAACCACGAUCAUACAAGUCAGUUUAAUGAGUCUAAAAUAUAUUAGUCCCUAGCACACAUGUGUGAGCCAUGUUGCCAUGAUCAGUUGUAUAUAUGAGAUCAAUUCCAAUCUGAUCAUGUGGGUUAACAACCUGCAGAGUCGAUUCUGCAAAACAAACCUAGCUCUUCUGUCGUGCUGUACCCUGUAUUCUAGUACAAACAUCCUUGGCACCUCGAGUUAGAUUCCGCAUCAAUAAUUUUCUUGUCACUCGCAUCAAUAAAUAAUUCCACAUUGAGGUGAAUAUAUAUAAUGACCAUUAUUAUGAUAUGAAAUAAAUGUUGAUAGACACAGAUAAAAAUCCAACAGAAGGAACGCUUCGCUACGUCCUUACCAGAGACUCGACCAAAGAAGAAGAAGCUCAGGGGUGAAGCACGCCUUUCUCGGGACAUUGCUGUCAUCGAUGGUCGGCUCAAGUUUGUUGAAUUGCAGCUCCACUGGAAAGAUAGUGUGGUCUUCAGGGGCCUCCGCCUCAGAGAUGGUUGGAUCGCUUCGCUGCCACGUACAGCCGGGCUGCAACUUGUUCCUUGGAGGAUAGAUGGAGCAAGGACCAUGAAAUCGACUCCAACUGCAUGGACUUUGAGCAUGACCCACUCACCAAGCUACUCCCCAAGAUGUUCAAUGACGAAGGCAUGGCUCUCCCACCCUUCAAGAGGCUUGACGUGUGCCAACCACCCUCGCCCUUGAUCAUCAUGACACCGUGUACUUCAUGACGAGGUUCGAGCGGCAGGAUGCCAAAGCAUGGGUUGCUGCUGUGGAUAUGAAGAGAAAGGUGCUGCAAGCAGUGUGCCCAUUUUCUGCUGACAGGAACACAUGCAUCACCUUCGCCUACAUGCACAGUAGGAUCUCCAGUCACUUGUAUCCCUUGUGUCUCACUACUAGUCAGGUUAUGCGUCACUAGUCCGGAUGGAUGCAAGAGGAAUAGAUGCGGUCAUGUGGAGUUGGGUUUGGUCUAAAGUUGUGUUGUUUCAAUGCUGGGGGUUUCAUCUAAACUUGACAGAACAGAAAUCGUAACGGGAAGCAGAUAUAGCUUCUGAAACAUCAGUAAACUGCGUUUCAGUCGAACGAACUGCAGAACACCCACGAUAAACAAACGACGACCACUGUCUGAUAGACUGACAGACUAGGCUGGCAACAUGAGCUUAAAAUAGUACCAUGAUCUCAAAAGUAUUAAACAUUCUCAACGGCAAUGGUAACAUCAACUGAGUCAUGAUUGAAAUAAACUUAGUGCAACAGCAACUUCCAAGCCCCCUAGACUAGAUAACUUCAACAAGAUGCAAAACAUCCCUCAUGUGUUUGUUGCCCUGGUGUAUAUCUGCUGGCUGGAAUGAACGGCGACCAUCCUUAUGAGCCCCCUUGCCAUCAGGUCCUUGAUGGCCCUCCGAGCCAGGGAUCCAUUGAUCUGUGGGCGAAAAGAAACAAAACUUGCCUUACUCACAUGCUGAUUUAAUGAGAUUGAUUGAGGAUACAGCACAAGCAGAUAGCUCAACACAUUGCAAGCUAACAAAUAGGUGAUGAACAAACAUAAUGUGCAUAUUCUACCUGCCAUAAGAACCAAAAACUUUGUAAUAUGAACCAGAAAUAGUCUAGCUUACAAAUCCAACCUCAAUUGAAUCAUACAUGCAAACAACAAAGGCAUGGAUAGUAAGUUGGUAACAACAAGCAGUUCCCGUACUCAGGAAAGGAAUUCCAGCUUCUAUGGGCAGUCCUAAAGUCAUGACUUAAUUUUAAAACAGUUCCAGUUCACCAUUUAUGUUGACAAAGUGGAACUGAGGUCUGACAAAUGGUGAAUGACUAUCUAAUUACCCAAACACUUGUUGGGUUCCAACCACUGAAUAUAAAAGUAAUCACAACUACACAGAAUAUCAACACACUUGACACUACAAACUGAUCAUAAGGCCUUUCAUAUCCUACUUCCUACCAAGUGGACAUAUUUGCACAGAUAAUGGUGUUGAAUAUUUACCCAUGUGAUUUUGCAUUCCAAACACUGAAUAUAAAAAUUAUCACGGCUACACAUAACAUUUUGCAUUCCGAAAAUUGAAUAGUUACCAAUGUGAUUUUGCAUUCCAAACACUGAUGAAUAUAAAAAUUAUCACAACUACACAGAAUAUCAACACAUUUGACACUUCAAACUGAACAGCCUUUCAUAUCCACCUCCUACUGAGUGGACUUGUAAUUGCACAGACAAGGCGCAAGCAGCUCGACAUCAUCAAGUUUGACAGCUCGCGUCGAAAACUAGCACAUACUGUGUUAUCUGACAUCUACACAGACCUAUACAGACCAAAGUUCGAGACUCAUGCUAGCAUCGAUUCUCGUAAUGCUAAUUGAUAUUCUACAGCCACAUAUCAUAAACAAAGCUUUUAAACCGCACCAAAUAUGAUGUACCACUGGAAGACGGGAAGGCGCACAAACAGGGGCGAGAUCCAUAAUAAUUCCAAGUGAAGAAGAUGAUUACCCUGAGGCGCUCGGAGAGGAUGGAUGGAGUGAUCUGCUUGAACUUGGGCGCCUCGGUGAGCAGCUUGUCGUAGGUGGCCUGGUCGAAGAGCACCGCGUUGUUGACCUUCUCCUUCUGCUUACCCUUGCUCCACUUCUUCUUCUUCUGCUUGCCGCCUCCGGACUUGGCCGGCUUGGACGACGGCGGCGGGGCCUUGUCCUUCUUCGGGGCCUGCGAGAACAAGCGAGACGGUCAGCAACAGUCGAGCAGGCUGCGCGGCGGUGCGGAUGGGUGGAGCGGAGAGGAGCGGAGCGAGACGUACCAUGGCGGAGGUGGCGGCGGCGCGAGGCAGGCGAGGCGAGCGACGAAGAGGAGGGGUGCGGCGGCGGCGGGAGUCGAGGAGGGUGGGGAUGAGCAGCAGGUAUAUGAGUCGGAGGCUAGGGUUUUCGGCGGGUGAAGCGUGCUCUCCACCGUCCGAUGCGAUUGGAGGGCUGGGACCCCGCCUUGGGGCUCAUCUACGCCCUCAAAGUUGACAAUAUUACGAAAGGACCCCUGUAACUGCACGAAUUGGCGAAUUGCGCCACGACGCAUAACAUGUAGGAAUCUCCUCACACGAUCUGUAUAUUGCAUCAUACCCCUUAAAAGGACCGCAUAUCGCGAAUUCAAACAUCUUUCGGAGGACAAAUCUGCAAAAAUAGCACAGCCUGGGUCUUGUUCAAAGAGGAGGGGAGGGGGCUCCAGAGACAGUUCGCAGCAACACAUUUCUUUCUUCGCGAGAGGGCAAAGGCAAGGGGAGCGAAGCGGAGAGCGAGGGAGCGGGUGACGUCAUCGUCCUCCAGGGUUUCUCGAUCGGCGGCGAUGGCGGCCAGGACGGCGGCGAGGUUCGUGCAGCGCAGGCUCCUGUCCUCCGGCGGCAAGGUCCUCGGCGAGGAGGAGAAGGCCGCCGAGAACGUCUACAUCAAGGUCCAGAUUUCUCCCCUUUCUCUCUCGCUUCCUUCCUCUAGUGGUUUCUGAUCGGGAGCGCGAUUCCUGCAAGGCGUGUGGGUGUGCGACUGGUGAUGCGAUCUAAGGACUCGCUUCUAGUUCCGCAAGUGUUGGAAGUGGCUCGUGAUGCGGUCUCUGUGCGUGAGCCGCGUGCUUCUGGUGACCUCCGCGCGUUCCGGGACUUGGGUAAUUUUUGUCUAGGGUUUCCUUGUUGUAGUGUAGUUCCAGGAAAGGAGUGUACUGGUGACUGGGGUUUUGUUUUGGUGCAAACGUUUGCUAGUUGCUGACCUUGGAAUGGUUACCUGUGGCCCUGUUGCAGUAUGGCAUCAAUUUAUGUUGUUAAUUUGUUGAUUACCUACCCCGGCCAUGCUUUUGGCCUUCUUAGUACUGCUUUGGUUGAGAUGCGUGCUACCUGAUUAUGUGAUGUCUCAAAUUGUGGAGUUUUUAGCUUCCUGAGGUUCAUGUGCAACUGUUGCUGCGGUGACUCAUGCUGCUUAUGCGUGUGAUUUACUUUUAUCAAUGUUAAAUAAGGUCCCCAAAUUCUUCUAGUUGAAAAAUCAUACAUGCUGCAAUGUUGUAGUUUUCCUUCAGCUAUGUUUGUUUGCUCAUCCAUCUUGUACUGCUGUUGGAGAACACCACUAGUUAUGAGCUGAUAGAAUCACAGUUUAUUAUAGUUUCAGAAAUCUAUAUAUGCUAAUUUCAUGUUUUUUUUGUGUGUCUGUGUACCUGAUCAGCUUCGUUCUGCUAAAAAGUUAUGUUAAAAUGGAUGCAUAUUUGUACUGAUAAACUGGUAGGUAGAUAUAUUGCGAUGAUAUGAUCUGCAUAAGCAUGUGUUUCUGGAACCAUGGAUGUGAAAAUUGUGGCCAUAGCAGGUUUUCUCUUUUAGCCUUAAGCCAUUAAAGAUUACACUAAUGCUUGGAUAAAUUAUACUGCUUGUAUACUUGAGUUGUCUACUGUCUGUGCAAGCUUGGUGCUUAUGGUGGGCUUCCCCAAGUAUUGUGACUUGGGAGCUUACUCUAGGUUGUCUUGUUAUACUGGUCAAUGUGGUUAUGUGAUGGUAUAAAUUCUUUUCGUUGGUGACAUGAAUAGAAUCAUGCACCGCUGAUCCAGUGACACAUUGAAUUGUGGUGGUCGUCUACCUGGCCAUAGUUGUCCUGUUGGUACGCAUUUGUAUGAUAUGCAUGCAUAUUGUUUUCUGGGAUCAUGGCUAAGGGUUGCUUUUGCAUCUGGAAGUUUGAAGGUCACUCUGUUGGGUCCUGUUACUGUUUGAUAGUUGCACUAAUUGUAAAGCAUAUACACUAUUUUCUUCUGUCUAUCUGCCAAGUUUCCAAUUUCGACUGUUUGGCUGUCUAUCUCCCAAGUUUCCAAUUUCCAUCACCAUCUUCUAAUAAAGCAGUCCAUAAAUAUCUUGUGAUCAACAUAAGCAUGCCUUUCUGGAAUCAUGAAUGCGAAUGUUGUUAGCAUGCAGGCUUUGACUUUAAGUCUUAAGCUGUGAGUUAUACUCUGCAUUGCUACUGCUUAGACAAUAUACUGACUAUUAUAUUUGGAUGUGAUGCCAUCUGUUGGUAGGAGCCCAUGCUCAUAUGAGCUCCGCAAGUGUUGUCUUGAGGAUUUUUUAUAGGUUGUCUUCUUAUACUAUAGUUUGAGGAGGUACGAGUAUACUGGUGAAUGAGAUUUUGAUGAUGUAUACAUGUUUUUUAGUGAUAAUGGGAUACUAUUUUUCAUCCCUGGUCCAGUAAUGCACCAAUUUAUGUUGAAAAUUGGGUUCAUACAUGGUUGUGUUUUCUGUCUUGUGGGUGCACAUGUGUGUGAGAUGCAUCGUUAUUGAUUUUUGCAACCUUGACUGCAAUAGUGGGCUGUUUUUGCUUCUGGAACUUUGAAGGCCGUGAAUUUUGUAAGGUCCUGUUAGUUUGUCUCGUGAUGACUCAGACUCAGAAAAGCCUAUACACUAUUUUCUUCUGAGUUUGGUUCCGUCCCAGAUUGUGAUGCUUGUGUGUUGUGACAAAUUGUUGGUAUAUUAGGACACUGUUGAUGCCUGUCUCUUGCUUCUGAUUAUACAUUUCAUUGUCUGACUCUUUGCAAAAACUUCUAUCACAUUCUAUGACCAUAUUUUUGGUUAUAGUAUUGAGCUUAUACUUUUAUUCCGAGUUCUUUGAACCAAUCGUGAGCUAAGUUAGUUUUAUUUUAUCACCUGCCUUCUUCAUCUGUACAUAACUAGUUAUGAGUACGUAAUUAGGUGAUACAAUUAGUGUGUUCCGGAAGCUUGAGAAUUUCUAGCAUGAAUGUGAAACUUAUUCAUUUGUGUGCCUGACAUGUAAGAUAGACCUUAUCAUUGAAGAUGACUGCAGAAUUGGUGUGAAAUAUUUGUGCAUAAACUCAAUCCAUUAGGCUUGUUUUACAAUGAAUUAUUGAAGUUAAUGCUUCACUGCAUUUCUUAUAAGCUGUAAAAAGUUUAUACACUGCAGUGCCAUGAAAUCCUUAAAUCUGAAGUGGUAUUUGGAUAAGCUUUUUCAUUGCCUCUAUCAAUGUAGAAAUCCUGUAUAUAGCUUUUUUUGGUGGUUAUUUAUGGCUCUUUUGAUGUCUUGAUAUUAUUUUCUUGAUACUAUGAUAAUAACAUGCCAUGCAAAUUUUGUUUUACUGCAGAAAAUGGAACAAGACAAGCUGGAGAAGGCCGCACGCAAGGUAUGAAACACAUCAUCUCAAGGCCCAAGCAUUGAAUUGGGCAGCAUUCCUUUCGUGUUCGAUGAUAACCUUCUGUUUUGUUGAUGCUUUUUAUGGGGAAUCAUGAAUUCUUUACAUAGAACCAUGAAUGUAUCAAUUCUUUUACUUGGAAUCAUGAUCGCGUUACUGGUAUAUUUGUCUUUGCCUAUGUAUGUUAAGCCAUGCUAAGUUGUAAGUAGGAGCGCUGCAUAUCUGUUUCACGAACUCAUGAAACUGUGUGUCGCUCUAACACAAGAUGUUACAUGAUUCCAGGGUCCCAGCUCAGGAGAGCAAGCUUCGUCAACCACAAGCUCUGCAGCAAGUGACGUGAAGGCCGCGGGCGGGCCAACAGAGUCAGCAUCUACUGGUGCGUCCACCGACAAGAACAGGAACUACGCUGUCUUGGCAGGCACAGUUGCUGCCCUGAGUGGCCUGGGUUGGUAUCUCUUGUCAAAGCCUAAGAAGUCGGAGGAGGUUGUGGACUGAAGGGGCGGUUGUGAAUGGGAUCCGUGGAUGGUCUGCCUUAUCAGUUUCACGUUUCACCCUGGUUUACUUUCUGCGCAUAGACCUGCACCUUCUUCGUGGAAAUAAUUGUUGAAAUGUACUCUGCACUACUCGUUCUGAGGCCGCAUCAUUGAACUUUGAAGUAUGCGCUCGAGACGUUCUGUAGUUCUCCCUCAUGUGACGAAUCGCAAUGUUGUCUGAUGCUAAUGCUACAUCGCUGCUGAAAGAGGUUUUUUGGGUACUGUUGUUCUGAAUGUAUGGAGUCUGUUGUCUCUAGUCUUUAAUCAGCACCUAUAUGCCUUGGUGCAUUCUGUGAUGCUGAAUGGGAAUGACAUAAUACAUGCGUUGCCGUUUGCCUCGGUUUUGCCACAACAGUCAUAUACUCCGUAUGUUCUUUCGAUAGCGUUUCUGUAAGAAUAAAAAGUUGUUAUAUGCUUUCACUAGCAUUUCUGUUCUGGGAUGCCUCUAUGGAAUCAACCUGUGUCUAUGUUCGCGCACUUCCAAAAGCAUUUCCGUACUGGGAUGCUUCGCGUAGUGCAAAUAUGGAGAAGCAGUCACAACACAAAAGACAGCAGAAACGUACUCUUUUUAACGUAGAAAUUUCAGAGCUGUGUAGAUGACUGGCGCACAGUUUGAUAAACAACAAGACUGACUUGCUUCAUAGUAAGUUGCUAAAACUCGCAUGGCAGCCUCCACAGAAAUUAAUCUAGAACUGGAACUACCGGAACAAAAAGUUGCCUGCCCAAACUGAUGGUGCAUCAUGCAUGCAUGUCACCAAACCAACAACCAAAGACGUCAAUCAUUUUCUAGGUGCAAUGAAGUCUCCAUGGUCAUGUGGAACACAAGCUCUUGAGCUACUUCUGUGAGCCAAUUAAAACCUACAGUUAUCAGGAAUAUAAAAUUUUUAAUUCAAGAAACUGCUGCCGUUUUAGAUGAUAGGUAGUGUACUUUCUUUUACACUCUUUUGAAACUGAUGACAACUAAUUCCAUAGGAAAUGUUGGAAAUUAAGUUUUUAUGGAUGGUUGAACUAAAUCCUAAAACUACCCCAUGAAAAAACUACAAAAACAAGGCCUGAAGCAAUUGGAAGUUGGAACCAGACUAUAUUCAUUCUCUACUUCUUAGAUAGGAACAUUAUACUCUCUCUGAUCCAAACCUGAUCUUAUUCACAGAUUUCUAUAUAACUCCGAACAGGCUAAGCAAACAUUACGUACAUAGUUAGACUCUUCCUUUAGAAGAGAACACAUGGGACAGAGAUCACUCCGAGAGACAUGCCUAAGAUGCUAAAUUAAAACCAUCUGACAAGGACUAACAUUGCACUUUGUAUUCCUAUGUGAUAUUACAAUGUUUAUUCCUUAUUUCUUUGAAUGGCAGAUUUUCGUGGACAAGAAGUAGAGGUUCCUUGAUCAUCCAGCAUUAUGUAAUCCUUGCAUGCAGAUUCUAUUAAUCUUUCACAGAGGGUAUCUUGGUAGCGCAAUUUCCCUGUGGCCACUUUCCUACAUCAAUCAAAGCAACGGCCCAAAAUUUUUGCAAGUGAUGUUUCCUUGAUUCUAGAAAAACUUCACAUGGUGUGUAAGUGGCAAGCAAAAUGUGCAUGAAUGUUUGCAGAAAUAAAACCUGGGCUGGAUCGGCCAGCUCACUUGGAUCCAUGGACUAAAUGAAGGUCUGAAGGGGGAAAUUGAAUGAAAGAGGAGCAGUCAUGACGACCCUAUGCUCCUUGAGGCCUCCUCCUUGGGCGCCUACACGCCGCCUGGCUCUGCUCAGUCCUUGGGGACGCCGCACGCGGAGGUCGCCUCUCCCCACCGCUUCCUAACGUACUUGCGGCGUGCGCGCCUGCAGUCAUGUGAGCCUGCACCUGACACCACCCCUCUAGCGGGCCCCUCGUCGGUGGGCGCGGUUGUCACUCCUGCUGACCCUGCCACCCCGCCACACAGCUCCCCGCCAGCAACAACCCCACAUCCAAGCUCUUCCACCACCGCGUGGGAGAAGGCGACCGCUUUCAUCAACAGCGUUCGCCUUUCUUUCCAGUUACCCCUUGCGGCCCGGCCCACCAACUCUGGCCCUGCGCCGCCUCCCCCCCCCCCCACUGCAACACCUCGCCGUAGCAGCCGCCUUGCUAGUAAUCCCCUCAACGUUGCCGUUCGGCCAUCUCGCAAGGGGGAGAUACUGGCCAUGAAAAAGCUAGGCGUCAUCUCACAGGACGCGGAGGGAGACUGUGUCACACCCUGUGACUUUGACAAAUUUCUACACUCCGCCGUGCAGCCGGAGCACUUUGCCGCGCUCCGUGAUAUCUUCCCGCUGGCUAACGAACUUUCUGACCACGAACUCAUGCAGAUUGCUGGUCGGGCGGAUGAUGCCUGCAUAUAGCCACCAGGCGCCCGUGAUGCCCCACCGCCGCCCGCGUGCCCCAUGCAAGCUCCCAACAUCAAUAUGCUUGUCUGAAAUGUGCGAGGCCUCAAUGCACGUUCCCGGCGCGACGCCCUGCGGGACCUGGUAGCUGAGGCAAAUGGUGCGAUUGUAUGCUUACUGGAGACAAAGUUGGCUGUACUCUCCCCAUUUCUUAUUGCUGAAAUGCUUGGAGGCGACUUCUCCUCCUCCUACGAUUACCUGCCGUCUGAUGGCACGCGCGGAGGGAUCCUUGUUGCCUACCGGAACUCCGUUGCAACUUGCUCCCGCCUGCACUCUGGCCGUUUCUCUCUUACAGUAUCCGUUAGCUUCCUGUCCUAGGACACGCCUUGGAGUCUCACCAUCGUCUACGGGCCCCAAUCGGAGGCCGAUAAAAUCGAUUUUCUGGACGAACUCCGUGCCGUCCAGCCCCAUGCUGCGGCCAUGUAGGUAAUUGCGGGUGAUUUCAACCUCAUUCUCAAUGCGUCGGACAAGAACUCGGGUAACAUCAACCGGAGGAACAUCUGAAGGUUCAGGCGGUUUGUUAAUGAUAUGCAGCUCAAGGACAUUUAUCUGCACGGACGGCGCUAUACUUGGAGCAACGAGCGUGAGACUCUGACUCUGGCGCGGCUUGACCGUGUCCUGGUCUCCACCGAUUGGGAUGCGCAUUAUAGCUUCGCGUUCCUACAAGCUCUCUCCUCUGGCGCCUCCGACCACUGCCCGCUCCACUUGGCGACUAAUGCCUACUUCCCUUCUAAACGCCGGUUUCACUUCGAGCCCUGGUGGAUUGCUCUGCCGGGCUUCUCUGAAACUGUUGCGGGAGCCUGGUCCUCGACCUGUCCCUCCACGGACCCUUUUGUCCGUCUAGACCACAAGCUCAAAUGCACAGCCAAAUCCUUGCAACGCUGGAGCUCUAAGAAGGUGGGGCAGAUCCGCGCCCAACUGCUGGUGGCGAAGGCGGUGGUUCUCUGGCUCGACAAGGCCCAGGAGCUUCGCACGCUGACUGCAGAGGAGCGGAGCCUUAGGACGCGGCUCAAGUACAAAACCCUCGGACUGUCCUCCCUCGAGCGCAAUAUGGCAAGGCAGCGGUCAAGGCUACUGUUCCUUCGCGAGGGGGACGCCAACACUAAACUUUUUCACACGACCGCUUGCCAUCGAGCGAGGAAGAAAUUCAUCCCCAGCCUUCAAUACGACGGGACGAUCGCGAUCUCUCAACCUGACAAGGAGGAUCUCUUAUAUAAUUACUUCCACUCCAUUCUUGGCUCCUCGCCAGAAGGGACUGCGGGAGUGGAUCUUGCUGCCUUGGGCUUCCAGGCAGCUGACCUGCAUCACCUCGACGCCCCCUUCUCCGAAGACGAGAUCUGGAGUACCAUCAAAGAGCUUCCCGCUGAGCUUGCCCCGGGCCCGGAUGGGUUCACGGCCGAAUUUUAUCGGGCGACCUGGACGGUUAUCAAGUGUGACAUCACUGCUUGUUUCAAUGCGUUCUUCCGACGAGCUUGCGCCCAGUUUGGCCGUCUCAACACCGCUCUCAUCACGCUCGUGCCUAAAAAACGGGAUGCGGCGUCGCCGGCCGAUUAUCGCCCAAUCAGUCUGGUCCACAGCUUCGCAAAAUUGGUCGCUAAGCUGCUCUCCAAUCGGCUUGCGCCCGAACUGCACAGACUAGUCGACGUCAACCAGAGCGCCUUCAUCAAGACUCGCUCCAUCCAUGAUAACUUCAAGUUCGUUGAACUCGCGGCCAAGACCCUGCAUAGGAAACGGAAGCCCAGCCUGCUUAUCAAAUUAGACAUUUCGAAAGCCUUCGAUACCGUCUCCUGGCCGUUCCUCUUGCAGGUGCUCCAGGCGUGUGGCUUUGGGGGUAAAUGGCGAGAGUGGAUUGCGAUCCUUGUGUCCACAGCCUCAACUCGAGUUCUCCUCAACGGAACCCCUGGAAGAUCCAUCCGGAAUGCUAGGGGAUUACGGCAAGGAGACCCCCUUUCCCCUAUGUUGUUCAUCCUUGUUAUGGAGGUCCUUCACCGCCUAUUGGCUGCGGCUGCCCAGCAGGGGGUGCUCUCCUCCCCAGCUAACUGUGGGAUACACCACCAAUCUGUAUGCUGACGACGUUGUCAUCUUCGCGACGCCGCGCGUCCAAGACGUCAUCACGAUCAAGACUGUGCUUGACUUCUUUGGCCAAGUCUCUGGCCUCCGGACAAACUUCCACAAAAGUCAGCUGGCGCCGAUCUACUGUACUGACGAGUAGAUUUCCAGAAUUAGGGACAUUCUUCCUGCACAGAUUGCUACAUUCCCCAUCCAGUACCUUGGAUUACCUCUAUCGGUGGGGCGCUUGAAGAAAUCCUAUUUCCAACCCCUUAUUGAUAAAGUUGCUAGCAAGAUCCCCAGUUGGAAGGCACAACUCAUGAACAAAGCUGGGAGGCUAACGGUCGUCAAAUCCGUGAUGUCCUCGGUUUGCACACAUACACUCCUUGCGCUUGACGUCCCAGACUGGGUGCUGCACGAGAUCGACAAGAAUCGAAAAGGUUUCCUCUGGGCAGGGAAGACCAAAGCUGGGGGGGGGGGACUCUGUGCCAUCUCCUGGCCAACUGCAUGCAGGCCAUGUAGGUUUGGGGGCCUGGGGAUUUCGGACCUCAAGCUCUCCUCUCAAGCUCUUCGGCUUCGCUGGAUGUGGCUCAAAAGAACGGAUACGCAGCGCCCGUGGAUCCAAUUAAGCACUGAUUUCGACAGGGACAAGAACCUACGCAUUGUCUUCCAAGCAUCGAUCCUGGUACAACUAGGGGAUGGUAACGCUGCUCUUUUCUGGGAGGACAACUGGCUGGGGGACUCCUCACCGUGCUUCCUCGCACCAGACCUUUGUGCUAUGGUUAAGCCCAAAAUAAGAAGAACCAGAACCGUAGCGGCUGCCCUGACAAACAAGGUGUGGAUUCACGACAUUGUCGGACGAGCUACAGUCAGUGGCCUCACGCAGUACGUCCAACUUUGCAUGUUGUUGCCACUGUCCAUUUGCAGAGCGGCAUCGAGGAUGUCAUCUCCUGGCGUUGGGAAACCUGUGGGUCAUACUCCGCCCGAUCAGCAUACCACAUGUUCUUCCACGGCUCCACUGUUUCGCUGAUCUUCAGGACCGUGUGGCACGCUUGGGCACCUUUGAAAGUCAAGUUCUUCAUUUGCCUUGCGGCCAAGGGUAGGAUCUGGACCGCCGCAAGGCGCAAACGACAUGGGUUGCAGGUCACCGAUGAGUGCAAUCUCUGUGGCCAAGCUGCUGAAACGGUGGAUCACCUCUUCAGUCACUGUGCCUAUGCCCGUCAGGUGUGGCUUCAGGUUGGACAAAGAACUAACAAUCAGCUACCGAACCUCACCGCGGAUUCCAACUUGAUUGAUUGGUGGCUCUCUAUUCGGGCCAACAUGACCAGCGUCAAAGCUAAAGGCCUAGAUUCUACGGUCAUGCUGGUCUGCUGGCGGUUAUGGAAAGAAAGGAACGGCCGAGCCUUUGCCACUACCGUCGCUAGAACGCCGCAACAACUUCUGCUGCUCAUUGCUGAAGAAGCGUCGCUUUGGAUUCAGAGUGGUGCCCGAAACAUGGAAGCCUUUGGUUGGCAGCCCCCUGACCUCUAGCUAGCGUUACGGCUCUUCUGUCUUAAAUUCGGCUCCUAGACGCCCCCCUUAACAUAUGUAAUCACUGUCUAUUUCCAUUACCGUGUGCGAGUGCCCGGUUAACGGUCCGCGUUGUACAAACUUUGUAUUAAAUUCCUCUUAAUUGAAUGAUGCGCAGCUCUCCUGCGUAUUCUAGAAAAAGAAAGAAAGAAAGAGGAGCAGUGUCAGUUAGCACACUGUGCAGAGCAUAAAUGCAAGAUGAUAGCCAGUCUUAUUCAAGCAUGUGGAUGGAUGGUUGGAUCCGAUCAAUAUUAUUUAUUAUGAUGCAAGACAGCAGUACGAAUGCAAUUAUGCAUAGGUUGGAAUACUAUGGAAACCAUGUCCUUUUCCAUCAUGUUCUUCACGAUGAAGAGUUACAACGCGAGGUAAGAUUCGUACUCGAGUUUGGCAGCUGAUGGAACGUUGAUUGUGAAGUGAUGUGGCAAUUCCUCAAAAUUUUACCAAUCUACUUGCAGUAAUUUUUUCCCAUCCUCAUACGGGCCGGGUCUAUAAAUUUGCCACCUUGAUCUUCCUUCUCAUCACAACCAACUCAAAGCUCUUACUAGUGAGCACCUGCAGGCUGCAGUGCCAGAGAGAGAGGUAUGGCAACAUCAGUAGAGAUCAUGAACCCCAGCACUGAGGUUCUUGAGACUGCAGCCACCUCAGUGUUCCAGCCAGGGAAGCUUGCGAUCGAGGUGAUUCCUGUGGAUCAUGACACAAAUCCGACACCACCAAUUCCGAUCUUGAUUGCCUCUCCCAAGGAUGCAGGAACAUACCCGGUCGCCAUGCUCCUGCAUGGUUUCUGCCUCCAGAACCAUUUCUAUAAACAAGUUCUCAAACAUAUUGCCUCUUUUGGCUUCAUCAUGGUUGCACCCCAGGUUAACUAUCACUGCCUUCUAAUGUAUUUUACAUGCACUGUAUAGUCUAUGUUGAUUCAGAAACGUAGAAACUGUGAUGAUUACAGCAAGAUACCACACUAGAUCACAACUGCAUAAUCACGAUGAGAAUUCAUGUACUGACUUUUUUGGGAUACGAUUGGUUCACCCCAUGUCUGUUGGCUGACAUAAAUCAUGCAACUCUGUAAUUCUAUUGGCAGUUCCAUAUCAGCAUAUUGGCCAAAGGUGACACCGAGGACAUAGCCGCAGCAGCUGAAGUGACAGAUUGGCUCGCUAAGGGGCUACCAUCCAUCCUGCCCAAAGGCGUCGAGCCGAACCUUUCCAAGCUCGCUUUGGCCGGCCACAGCCGAGGUGGCCACACAGCGUUCUCUCUUGUCCUGGGGCAUGGCAAGACCAAUCUCAAGUUCUCUGCUCUCAUUGGUCUUGAUCCUGUUGCUGGCACAGGCAAGUCUUCGCAAAUCUCACCCAAGAUCCUCACCUACGAGCCCUCCUCUUUUGACAUAGCGAUGCCCGUCUUGGUCAUCGGCACUGGGCUGGGAGAGGAGAAGAAGAACAUACUAUUUCCUCCCUGCGCUCCCAAGGAUGUUAACCACAGGGAGUUCUACCACGAGUGCAGGCCACCUUGCUACUACUUUGUGACCAAGGACUAUGGACAUCUCGACAUGCUAGAUGACGAUGCUCCAAAGUUCAUGACCUGCAUGUGCAAAGACGGCAAAAACUGCAAGGACCUGAUGAGGAGGACCGUUGCUGGCAUCAUGGUAGCGUUCUUGAAGGCUGUGCUUAAUGAAGAAGAUGGUGAUCUUAGAGUCAUAAUGAAGGACCCUAAGCUCACACCAACCACAGUCGACCCUGUUGAGCACCGUCUGGCAUGAGCAGGAAGACCAUAAAUCAUAAGGACUUAUUGAGUUAAACAUAAGUGUCAGUUGCUUGUUUUUUUCCAUGUUUCCAAAAACUAAAUGUCACCUGUUGCUGUAUGUCCUUUCCUAAGUCCAAAUCAUAAUGAACUGAAUAAAAAUAAUGGACAGAGUUACAUCCGUGCAUUCUGCUUAAUGAUAAUGGCAAGCCCUUAACCCCAAAUCUAUUGGGGAAAGCUAUACUGGGCUAUGCAAAAAAAAUGCUCGGGUGAGCAGUAGACAGCCCCAAUCUGUUAUUCUCCUUUUUGUUCCAGGAGUUGUGUUUGUUUUGUACUCUGUACUUUGGUUUGUUCCCCUUUUUUAAUAAAACACGUGCUAUGCAGUUCUAAGCAAACAAAUCUAUUGGAAGAUGCUUCCUUUGAUAUUCAAUAAAAAUGAAAUCAACCCAAGUAUUUCUUUCAAAAGAAGCAAUGUGACAUUUUUUUCCCCUGCUGCAUCCAUUGGCAGCACUGUUGGAAACUGCAGUAUUUGCAUCUCUUGGCCAUAUCUUCUAGGCUGUCUUUCUAGGUUGCCUACGAGUACAAAGAGACCGAACUUCGCAAUCUCAGGUUGCAAAAGAAGUACUACUAAAUAUGCCAGAUUACAAGGUUAAGGGUGCCUAAUCUAAACGGGGUAAAAAAUGAGGGGCAUUCGAACCUGGGAGUACAUGUUGUCGAGAAAUUGCUUGGUGUGAAACUGAUAAUAAUGCGCACAAGAAAGAGACUUGAGAAGGCAGUUUCAGUCAUACCGCGCGGUUUCCGUGGAGUACAGAGCACCAGAAUGACACUUGGAUCUUUGCGUUUUCCGUGGCCUAGAUGAGCCGACAAGUCUUUGAAACAUGGCCCUUCGCUCCUUUUUGUUAUUCAAACCUCCUAGUCUUUGAUCGAGAAUUAGCUUGAGAAUUGGUAAAUUAUAUUAUAACAUACACAAUUAUUAAUGUUAAGAAAUACAGUCAAAAUUAGUUCGAAAAUGAACUAGGUAGCUGGUCUCAAACACCAUAAAUUUGACAAUGGAGAUAGUACGUGCCAAGGUUCGUCACCAUACACACGUAUUGCAUUUCUGUAAGAUGUUGUUCCUCAUUUUUCAGACGUUCGCCCGUUUCUUCCUAACAAAACUGACUUUCAGAUUUUACAUCCAGGACAAGACCACAAGAGAUUACAUGCAUGCCAUGCACGCGUGAUGAAAACGUGACUGUUUUAUUUCACAGCAUGUCCCUUGCAGUUCUUCUGCUGCAGAAAGCCAGAAAUUCCUUAGCAAAGCUACUAGACAACAAUUCACGGAGCAGAGAGCUACUCAAACUCACUUUGCCCACGCUCCUCAGCUCGUACGUACACGUAGGGCCAGCCGGCAGCGGACUCUAUAAAUUUGCCACCAAGCUUCAUCCUCUUUUCUCAUCAUCACCAGUCAUCAGUUCAUCAAUUACGAUUCACAGCCAACUCCAGCUUUUACCCGCCAGUACCUACAUUUGAGACAGCGUGAGCAAGAGAUAAGGUGGCAGCACCAUGGCGACCCAGCAGGUUCUUGAGCCUGUGGCGGCAGUCACCUCGAUGUUCCAGUUCCACAACGACAUCGCCGCGGCGGCCAGGGUCACGGACUGGCUCCCCGAGGGCCUGCUGCCCGUGCUCCCGGCGGGCGUCGACGCGGACCUCGUCAGGCUCGCCCUGGCCGGUCACAGCCGCGGCGGCCACACGACCUUCGCCCUGGCAGUUGGGGCACGCCGCCAAAACCACCACCCUCAAGUUCUCCGCGCUCAUCGGGCUCGACCCCGUCGCCGGCACCGGCCGGUCCUCCCAGCUCCCGCCGGCGAUCCUACGAACCCUCCUCCUUGUCCUUCUCCUUCGCCGCCGCGGCGCUGGUCAUCGGCACCGGGCUGGGCGGCGACAGGGAGAACGCGCUGCUCCCUUUCCCUCCCUGCGCCCCCGGGGAGGUGAGCCACACGCGGAGUUAAUUCUACCGCGAGUUCAAGCCGCCGUGCGCGCUACCACGUCGUGGCCGGGGACUUCGUCCACCUCGACAUGCUCGACGACGACGACGCGCCCAGGCUGGAGACCUGCCUCUGCAAGGAAGGGGACGGCUGCAAGGGCGUGAUGAGGAGGACCGUGGCCGGGAUCAUGUGGUCGCCUUCUUGAGUGUUCUGAGCGAAGGGGAUGGCGAUGAUGAUCUGAAGGCCAUACUCUCGUUACUCGGAGAUCCCGGGCUCGCACCAACCGCGUUGGACCCUGUUGAGUACCGGUUGGCAUGAACAGAAAAGAUCGUCAUCGUUACCAGGCCUCGUCCGAUUCCUUCGGAAAUAGUCCAGGACCAUUCCAAAUCCGACUCCUUCACUCGAUCAUGGUCUGAUUCUAUUUCUGUCCAGGAACUAUUCCAACCUUCAAAAUUGGUGUUGUUCGGCUGGACAGAAAUAGACUGUCCAGGGUUUCAGUUAAAAACACAAAACAAAAUCUGUAGCUCUAAAAUUAAAUUACUCUGAAACAGAAUAGCUAUCAACCUGUAAAGGGUUCUAUCUUGUAGAAUAGCUUAACAUAAGCUGGCACAGAACUGUAGUUUAAACACUAACAACAAAAUAGAACCAGCCAAAUUAGAUCAUCGACGGUCAGGCACCAAUGAAACAGGAGAAUCACAAACAAGACGAGCAAAACAGGAGAAUAGCUUUCGAAAAGGUAAUGAUACGAAACCCAAGCGUUUGCAAAGACUAUUAUACCGGAACCAAGGUAUCAAGAUAGCACAAUUUUUCUGCAUAUGUCAGCACUCGCCGAUCCGGAUAACAUUACUAGUACAUAAUAACUGUCCUUCAAAAUUAAACACCUCGCGCAAAGGGAAACACCAUGUCCAAACUAGGGGCAACUUCACUCCAUGGAUGAAGAGGUUGCGCUAGCAACAAAGCUGCUGCCACCGCCACGGCCAAAGCCAGGUCUUCCACCAGAACUCUGCAGAGUUUGCGGGAUGGAAAUAAACAUUAGCAUUCAUGAAAUAGAUGGUGAUCAACUCAUGUUACACAUUGCUAAUUCGUCUGACAAGUUACACAAUGAAAAGGGUAUGAGCAUAUAAAAAAUAGAGUAAACAUUACGAUCUAUGAUUUAAACCAUGACGAUAGCUUCUUGGUCUGACCGUUCAUUUUCACAAAGACUAAUCCAUCUGAACGAAUGAAAAGAUCAACGAACUAGCCAACCUUAAAAACUAGGCUGUUUCACAAAAUUGAGUACCAGCGACAUAUGACUACAUGUAGCUACUUAAUUGCUUUAGCUAAAACAGUAGUAUAAAUAGACAACGAAUUUAUGAGGUAAGUAGACAACAACUUUACCUGCUAGGUCAUCUCAUUCCUAAGCCAAAUCAAAGUGGAUUCUUCAUCUUCUUCACUAGCACAAAUAAAAGUCUCCCUGUUUUCUUUGCUCUUGGUAAAGAUUGCAUAAGCUUUGGCCUUUUCCUAUUUGGCCACUUUCAUUGUGUUGAUGAUUGAUAUGCACCUUUUGAUGGAGUAUUCAUCACCUUUAGCAGCCUCCUUAUCUCUUGCCUUCUUUUCUCUUGUCUCAUUUUCUCUUGCCUCAUUUUCUCUUACUAGCUGUUUAGUUUCAUUUUCUGCUUGCUUUGUCCUCAUUUCAAGGAAUCUCUCCAUCAUAGCUUCAAUUUUUACACUCUUUUCUAGGCCUUUGUCCUUUUUUUUUCUGAUUUCUUUCUUGAUGCAGCCAUUCUUCGUUCUCCACUUCUUGCCUCCUCUUCAUCUCUUACAUCCUUUUCUUCAUUCUCUUCAUCACGUAUCUCAAUUUCCUGUAGAGCCUCUUCCUCAGCUUCUUCCUCUACAUCAUCAAUUUGGUGAAGGGGCUCUUCCACACAUUGUGAUUCAAUAGAAGCGAAAUUGUAUGUCCCUUCAGCCAGAUGACCUACAUUUGGCACAAUACAUUUAGAGAAAUAGUACAAGUACCUAUUUUACAUCAUAGAGAUCUGACUGGGAAAUAGCUUAUUAUAUAGAACUUACGAUCAUAGAGUUCUCCCAAAGCAUAAAAAAGCGGAAAGUUUGCCUUGUUGUUUUGAAACUUCUUGAUUUUGGGGAAAGUCUGCAAUUUGAAGAAAAUAUUGAUCAAAUACAAAGUUAUCACUAUGAGGUUAUCCAUAAAAUUACUUCAAGAAAUUAACUUACCACCAUGAGGUUCUCCCACAUUGCUGCUGAUCCUUCAACCAUAUUUCUUUGUUCAUUCUAUUUUGACCCACUUUGCAUUCUUGCCACUUUGACCAUUUUGUAGUCUCUCUUAAGCUGACAUUCUUUAUCUUCAAUUUGUGCCUUUGUAUAUAAGACAGACUUGUUUCUCAGAUGGAACUCUUUCACCAUCUUGUUCUAUCCUUCAGUGUUCCAACCGUUGUCACUUUUAUAGCCACUAUCUUUAUACUCAUGCAAAAUUUCAACAAGUGAUUUCUCAAGAGUUGUGUUCCAGUCUGCUCUUUGUUUUCCUACAUAAACAAUCAUCAAGCAUUAGUAAUAGAAAUUUCAUAGCAUCAAUAAUACAAAAUUGACAAGAAAGCAUGAAGAAACAUUAAACACCAUACCUCGUGGUGAACCUCCACUCCUCUUUGCCCCACUGCAUUUAGGAGAAGGCUUCUUUUUAGUAGCACUUGUUGUAGGCAGGAACCUACUUAACUUUGGCGACCCCCUUGCAAUCACAUUGAGCUUUGGGGAGCCUUUUCCAGCUAUCAUUUUCAAAGAAAAAAUUUAUUCAUCAACUUAUUUAUGAUACAAUCUUAUUAACUUAUUCAUCAACUUAUUCAUGAUACAAGCUUACAUGUUGGUGGUACUGAACCCACAUUUCUUGGAUGAUGGUAUCUCUCAAAGCAUUGCCUUGUGCAGUGCCUGAGUCAUUGAUUUGAUUGUCAUUGGGUAGAGAAACAAAGUGUGUUGGAUCGAUAUUAUCCGGCUGAUGAUCCAACCAUUCCUCAUCUCCAUGAAGUAAUCAGAUUAGAUUGUGGAAGAUGGUUACAGCUACUUGGUAUUUUCACUUGAUUUUCCAAUGUAUGGAAUGUGGCAACUUUGAGAAUGGGGAAGCGCUUCUUAAGCACUCCCAAAGUCCUUUCGACAUGGUUACUCAGUAGUGCAUGGUGGUGGUUGAAGAGAUCCUUUGAGUUUUGUGAUCUUCGAUGUCCAGCUCCAAAUUCUUUCAAAUGGUAUCGAACCCCUCGAUAUGGAGCGAGGAAAGAUGGAGUAUUUGUAUACCCUCCAUCAACCAGAUAGAAUUUGCCUGGAGGUACCUGGAAGCCCGUUCUCAUAGCCGAUCUUAGCACUCUAGAAUCUGUAGCUGAUCCCUCCUAUUCACUAGAAAUAAAAGUGAUGUUGAGAUCGAAAUCACAUGCCACCAUCACAUUAAUGCUGAGUGUGCCCUUCCUAUUCCUAAAAGGAGAAUGCUUCUCAGGGGAUAUGGAAACGGGGAUAUGAGUUCCAUCAAUGGCACCAAGACAAUUCUUGAAGAAUGGAUAUAAUCUAGGAUUAUCUUGGAUUUUCGGAUGCAAUUGAUUAGGAUUGGGGGACUGGAGGAAACGACGAGAAAGUGUGGGAAUGACCUUCUUGAAGAAGUGAUUGAUGUGAUGAUGGUAGGUGUCGUUGCUGUGCCCAAAGGUCAUUGCAAGAUCCUCAUAUGAGGCGUUACGACUUAACAUGUAUAGGAAGAAAUCCAACUUCUCCUCCACCGUAAUCCUUGUAUCAACAAUGAGCCUUUUCCUUCUAAGAUAAGUCACCAACUCUUUGAAGAUGUGGGGUUUCAUCCUAAAUGUAACUUGACAGUUCUUGAUAUGUCCCUCAAGGAGUUGAUGAACCUUAACCUCUCCUGUUUCUUCUGAUGUAUGACGUUUCUUCUUUACUCCCUCUUCUCUAGCAGAACCCAUCAGAUAUAAGGCAGGGAAUAGAAACAUCAUCAUGUCAUCAUCUUCUUCCUCCCUCCUCUUUCUAAUACGAUCUCUCAAUGAGAUAUUCAUUGUAGAACUAGAGCAUAUAAAUUUAUAGUCAAAUAGAAGCUAAAUAGAUAAAAUGGAAGGGUAAACAUGUUUCUAAACAGGUUUCUGUAUCUAUCGGAUUCUGUACCUAUUUUGAAUAGAAAAAAAGAAAGAUUUAAACAUAGACAUAAUUCUGUACCUAUUGGAGUUGGUACCGAAUCCCAAGAAGGUGGAGGUUCACCUUCCCCAACUCUUAAUUGUGCUGGUGGGAUCUACAAGUAACAAGAAAAAAACAUUAAGUUAUUUUGUAAAACAGUGCACUAAUACUAGUACAUUAGUAAGUAGCUAUGGCAAAAAGAAUUGAAAAUCUAAAGCUUGAACUGCUUGACUGCAAGGGAGAAUACAAUCUAAAACUUGGAUAGCCAAGAAAAUCUUGGAUACAAAUCAGAUUGCAAAUGGUACAUUGUUUAAGCCAAAAUAUGUUAUUACUGCUACAGAUCCCAAAUGAGCCUUCAAGAAUAAAAAAAAAAUCCGACCACCACACCCACGUUACAUACUACAGAAAAAUGAUGACGCCCACCCGCGUUCCAGAAUACAGAAAAAUGCCGACCCUACAAACCGAGCAGUGCUAUAAAGCACCAAAUUUCCAAGGAUGAACAUGAGACUGAGAGCACAAGUCUGACUAACACAAGCUUAAUAAAAUAACUAAAGAGGCCGGGGGGGGGGGGGGCACCGGACAGAUUCACAACAGGGUUCAGGUUUAGAGUAAGUUAUACCCUACUACAACCUAUUGCUCCAUAUUAUCUCAUCAGAUUAGCCAGUUUCACUAACAAAAGUUUCUGGAACUCUGCAAUUAAUAAUUAGUACCAAAACACAAUUGCAUAUUGCCAUAUUGUGAUAAGCACUAUAGCUUGUGGUAGUACAACGCAACAAUAACUGACUAACAGGAAUCCACGUACGGAUAGCACAAGAAUUCUUAGAAACUAGAAAGUGUCAAAACUGGAUUUUCCCAAUACACUUUCAAGGCUCAUUGUUUCAGCCUUCAAGGUACAACUGCAGAAUGGCAAGCCUUGCAAUCUUGAAUCAGCGCUGGCGAUUCCUACCUAUGUUUUCAAUCCCUGGAUCGCAACGAAUCCUACCUAUAUUUUCAGCGCAACGAGGAGUCAACUACACCCCAAGAACAAUCGAAUCCACUACACCCUAGGCUUGGAAACCUCAAGAACAAGAAUGCGAGGAUGAGAGAGGGGGAGGGAGAGAUGGCGGCGCUCACUGGGGAGAAGGCGGCGGAGAGGGUGGAGGCUGGACGGGAGCUAGUCGCCGUUGGGAAUGUGUUGCGCCGCCACGCCGUCACCUCACGUCACCACACCGCCACCUCGUCACCUCGCGCGCCGCCAGCGGAGCCGCGCCUUGCGUCGCCUCGUGGAGUCUCGCGCCUCACGCCGCCAGCGGAGUCUGGCCUCACGUUCGUGGGUUUCGAUCCGGGUGUGAGGAGAUAGGGUUCCAAUCCGGGCCAUCUAGUGUGGGAGAAUUCCAAUCUAGGCCCGUUUUCAUUCCGAGCUGUAUCUAACCGAACAACCAUUUUUUAUCCGGCCUGACUUUGAACCGGGCCUAUUCGAUUCGGGUGGAACAUGCCACAUUCCGGGCCGUUCCAGUCGAAACGAACGAGGCCUUACUAAGGGCGGAUCCAGCACCAAGGCGGAUGGGCCUAAAGCCCCUCCUACCGUUGGUAGAGCCAUGGAGCCCCUUCUAAGCUCCCCUACAAAUUUACACCCAUUGAAGUUUGAAAGAAGAAUAAGUUCCUCCUGCUAAAUUUGUUUGUUUCUUUAGCUUGUUAUUCCUGUAUACGCAACUCUUUAUUUCAUUCGUUCUUAUACACUGACACUGUGCAAACAAUUGCAGUAAGAAAAUUGGAUCAGUUUGUUUGGAUAAAAAUCGUAUUGCUUCCACCACUGAUUGACCAUGUUGGGCCGGGCCUUUGAUAUUGCUUCCACCACUGCUUCUUCUCCGGCAGCUUCCUUACCGAGUUCUCCAUCUCUGACCACACCAAAGUUACAGCUUUUGCGCACGUGCAAUUUCUGUGAAGAGAAAGCCUGAAUACUACGUACGGAGUGCCAAGGAUUGAUCGAUCGAUGUAACAGCGAUUGCUUCUGAAUAUUACUUAUGUGCACCUAGUAAUAAUCUAAAAAAAUUACUUACUUUUUUGCAGCAAAUAAUGUUUUUUCCUCGGUCCAUCAACUGAAGAGAAAGACCAACGUAGUGUUCAUCUAAACGGUCAUGUAGCCCGUCUGUCUAGAUGAUGUUUAAACGCUAGUGGACAAGUUUGUGUCUAGUUUUAGCAGCGGCAAAAUACUAUCUCAACGUGCUCUCUAUAAAAAAAAUAUAUGUAGAGGUCUCUUUUGGAGAGAGAAUAUCCUAGAAAGAAAAUGUUAUAAUUAUGAAUACCAGCCCUUCCACCAUUCUCCGUUCUUCUUUGCAGGCGGCUCUACCCACUAUUUGUAUUUCGAGAUAAAUUUCAAAUAAUGUUCCAAAAUGAUUAAAACACCUAUCGCAGCCUUUUACAAGUUUUGUUGGUAAAAUAAUUAUUUCGUUCAAGAGGCACUAACUUUCACUUAAAAAUAAUUUAAUUAUAUUUUUUCAAACUGCGAAAUGUGUAUUUUUUUAUUUUUGCGCAUUUUUCAUAUAUAAAAUAUUUCUUUGGCUGACCAGUAAUGUAAAUACAACACAUGAGGGGGGGAAAAAUACAAGGGGUAGUAUUGGUAUUUUGAAUUUUCUCCCUCAGAAAGGUCUAUAUCAUUUGUGUCGCUACGGAAAAUGUUAGAAAUGGUAUUUUUUUAAAAUCAUUUUGUACACACCGUUGUGAUGGAACCGUGUCUCUUUUAUGAUGGCACUAUGCUAAUUGGCUCGACCAAAUCAAGAUAACGCCUAGUGGCAAACAUAUCUUUUUUCUAACCUGAAAGAACCAAACAAAAACCGAGUCAUAUUGCACAUUAUAUAGUAUAUAAUUACAUAUAAAAAAAGUAGUAGCACUCGUACUACAUAUGGUUAAUUAAAAGAGAUAGAGAAAGCGAGAUAAGACGAGACCGCGAUUCCAAGGCCGCGGGAGGGCAGGGCGAGGCGCAGCCUCCACCUCACGUUUCCCCCAUCAGACGCUCCUCGUCGCGCCACGCGUCGCGCAUCCAGCGGAGAUUCGUCUCCCCUUCCUCCUCCACGUCCGCCACGGGACAACCGCGGCGGCUUCAUCACCAUAAAAUCUCCCACACGCCACGAGAUGGGGGAAGAGAGAAAAAAAAAAGAAAGAAAAGAAAAGGAAAGGCGGAAGCUAAAACAAGGUUGGCGGCUUCCCGACGAAACCUCCCGUUCCUCCGCGACCCCGCGAGGCCUCCGCCGCCGUCCGAUCCCUCCCCAUCGCCGCCGGUACCGCCUCCCUCCCCCUACUACUCCUCCUCCUCCUCCUUAUCUUCUUCCUCCCCUGCCUUGUGCGCCUCCCUUUCCUCCCCCCACCCAAUCAUUGCUCGAGCGCUUCCCCCCCCCUGCAAAUCCCCACCAGCUCGGGCUCGGCUUAAACUUCACCUUGCUGAUUGGCCCCUCUUGCUAAUUAGGUGCUUUGUUCGGUUCUUGCCUUCCUCGCCUCGUUUCCUUUUCGAUUUCUCUUCGAUUGGAGCCUGAGCGAUUCGUGUCUUCCUCUUGCAGUUCAAUCCCCAUCAGGAGAGCAGGCGAUUCAAGCGGCUUGGCCCAAGAAUUUGGGGGCUCCGGGAUCUCGGUUCCUGAUCGGUAGUUGUGUGGGUGCCGGAUCCAGCGGCCGUCAUCAUGGUUGUCGAUACGGUCAGCGCGAGCACCUCCAUUAUUGCGCCCCACCUGUUCGACCAGAGGUCCAGGGGCCCCCACCGCCCCCUCCGCCGGACGUUCCAUGUCGUCGCCUGCCGCCCCCUGCCCACCGCCUUUGCGGGCCGCCGUCUCGUGGCCCGGGGCACCAGGCAGCCGUCGCCGCGGCUCGCGGACUGGUCGGUCAAGGCGCUGGCUAUGGGGGUCACAAAGGAGGCUAGCCCUCGCAGGGAGUACCGGGGGAUCCCCGGGGACGGCGGCGACAUGGGGGAUGUUGGGGUCACCAACCCGGCCCCGUCCUUGCCUCCGCGGAACAGGGCAGAUGACCCCAAGCUGCACAACCCGCUGCUCCGUCUCGAGCGGAUGGGCUGUGGGUGGCUCGGCGUCAUCUUCGAGUGGGAGGGGGUCAUUGUUGAGGAUGAUGCCGAAUUGGAAAGGCAGGCGUGGUUGACCCUGUCACAGGAGGAGGGGAAGUCGCCACCUCCGGCCUUUGUGUUGAAGAGAGUUGAAGGGAUGAAGAACGAGCAGGCGAUUUCUGAGGUUCUCUGCUGGUCUCGAGACCCUUCGGAGCUGAGGAGAUUGGCCUCACGAAAGGAGGAGAUACACUCCAGCCUCCGUGGCGGCUCCUUUUACCAGAUGAGGAAUGGUUCCAGGGAGUUUAUGAGCACGCUUGCCAAUUACAAGAUCCCUAUUGCCGUGGCCACCACACGCCCACGGAAGGUUAUCGAAGAAGCCAUCGAAGCUGUUGGCGCGCGGAGCUUCUUUGAUGCUGUCGUGGCAGCAGAGGAUGUUUAUCGGGGCAAACCUGACCCUGAAAUGUUCCUGUAUGCUGCUCAGCUCCUCAGUUUCAUCCCAGAGAGGUGCAUCGUGUUUGGGAACUCCAACUCAACGGUGGAAGCCGCCCAUGAUGCCCGCAUGAAGUGUGUCGCGGUUGCAAGCAGGCACAAAAUCUAUGAGCUUAGUGCUGCAGACCUUGUGGUGAAGCAACUGGACGAGCUAUCUGUUGUUGACUUGAAGAACCUCACUGAUAUCGAGUCUCCAGAGUUUGGCAUGGAACCUGAACCAGAGAUGGAGGAGGAGGAAGAAGUGUCCCGACCAUCAUCGUCAGUGGGUGUAGAUGACAUAUUCUGGUAAGAGGCUAGAUUGUACAUUUGAUUGAUUCCUCUCCUGCACAGAUGUAUUAUUGUCAACUGUUGUAGCGAUCAGGAAGAAGGGCUUAUCAUCCUUCUAAUCAGUAGAAUGUGAUAUGUAAAAAUGUUGUUUAGAGCUCACACACUGUAUAUAUUACUCAGAAAGAAAGCAGGGAACUGAAUAUAUCAAUCAGGACAUUUGAAACUGCAGUUCCUGAAAAUAUGUAUAACACCACAAUGUUUCUAUCGUUAAAUCAGUAUUCCAGGUGCUACUGUUCUAUUCUCUGCAGUCUUGUUCGUUCAGUAUCUAAUAAAAAUUCUCUGCAGUCUACUCGAUUGAAAGUAGUGUUUGGUCACCAUUGUGGGUAUUCUUGUUAGGACUGAUGAUUAUGUUUCCUCUUUAGGAGUUAUCCUCAUUAGUGGAAAUGUUUGUUCGAGGUUAUGCCUAAGGCAUUAGUUUGCUUGAGCUUGAUGCUGGCACUAAAUUCAUAUAGAUGGCUUUGGGACAAUGAUCCUUGAGCUUGUUUCUGAAAAAUGUUGUGCUUCAGCACGAAAAGGUUGAUGAUGGCACUAAAUUCUAAUGCUGCAACGCAUCUGUUUAGGCAUUUAUGUUUGCUACUUAAAAAGUUGGAUACAUGGUGUCAGUUCAUUCCAUGCAGAGAUGCUAGACUUUUUUCCUUCCCCUAUGAGUUGAUCAACUGCCUGAAAAUUGGCCUUUUGUCGAAUGUUAUGCUACGGACCUGGUACGCUAAUUCAGCAAAAUAUGCAUGGUAUUGUUUGCAGUCGGCUAUGAUGUACUGAAGGGCACUGUAGUCGUGAAUCCUGAGUUUAACUCUUUUGAACUCAAAUGACACAGUUACAGCAUUUUCUCCUUUGAGCCAAUUUAACUGUGUAGCAGGAAAGAAACGAUCUUUGUCUCAAAUUGUGGUUGCCCUUUUGAACAAAUCAUUCAACAUUGUCCAGUUGCAAUGAUAAGGGAGUGCAAUGAUAAGGGAGUGUUUGGAUACGAGGUGCUAAACUUUAGGAGGGUCAUAUCGGAUGUUCGGACGCUAAUUAGGAGGACUAAAUAUGAGGUAAUUAUAAAACUAAUUGCAGAACUCCUAUACUAAUUCACGAGACGAAUCUAUUAAGUCUAAUUAAUCCAUCGUUAGCGAAUGGUUACUGUAGCACCACAUUAUUGAAUCAUGAACUAAUUAGGCUUAAUAGAUUCAUCUUACGAAUUAGACUUCAUCUGUGCAAUUGGUUUUAUAAUUAGACUAUAUUUAAUACUUCUAAUUAGUAUUCAAACAUCCAAUGUAACAGGUACUAAAGUUUAGAAGGGUAAGCACCCUAAGACCAACAACUACAACUAAUCGACCAGUCCAACAUGCCGCUUUGCCUUUGUCUGGAACUGUAAGGAUCGACCAGUCCAACAUGCCGCUUUGCUUUUGUCUGGGACUGAAAGGAUGCCAAUGGAAGCAAGCAAUCAAAAGCUGAAACGCAACACCAACCGUCUGACGGUAGCCAAGCAAGUCCCUGAUGGCUGCUGCUUGCUGGCUCGCUCUCUAGAGGCAUGGCGUUGGCGUGGCAGUGCCAAUGGGCGUUGGCAAGGGGAGAGGCGCGUGCGAGCAUGUGUGCGUGCGCCCCUGGCCACUGGGAACGGGAAGGGAGGCGCCCAAUCACAUGCGCCCCAUGUGCGGCGCCAAUCCUCCCCCUCGACCGGCUCGUCCCUUCCGCGAUGGUGGCGAGGGCGAGGAGGCGACGCGGAGGCGCUCCCAAGCGUGCGCGCCUCCUGGCCAUCGCGGCCGUCCAUCCCUCCACACGUGUCGCCCCCGCGCGGCCACCGUGCCAACCAUAUCACUCCAAGCACGCCGCCGCACGGCUCGCACGCGUGAGCGACCCCGCUGGUCUCCCCCCUUGUUCCCCUCCCCUGCAUCUCCCUCCCUCCGUUCCCCCGCGGCGCGAGAUCCGGGAUGCAGCAGGCGGCGGGGCCGGCCGAGGACGAGGACGAGGAGAUGGGGGUCAAGGAGGAGGACGGCGACGAGGAGGAGGAGGAGGAAGACGACGGCUACUACAUGGACCCGUGCCCCGCGGCCGUCGCGUCGCCUCCCGGCGUAGGCGGCGGCAGGGCGAACCCGGCGAGCCGGCGGCGCGCGCGCGAGGAGAAGGAGCGGACCAAGCUGCGGGAGCGGCAGCGGCGCGCGAUCACGGGGCGGAUCCUGGCGGGGCUGCGCCAGCACGGCAACUACAGCCUGCGGGCGCGCGCCGACAUCAACGAGGUGAUCGCGGCGCUGGCGCGCGAGGCCGGGUGGGUCGUCCUCCCCGACGGCACCACCUUCCCCUCCUCCGCCGCCGCGGCUGCGCAGGUUGGUCGCUCUCUCUGCUGCUUCCUUCUCAGUCAGUCAGUCAGUCAGUCAGCGAUGAGUAUGCGAUUGGGAAAGAAGGGAAUGAAUGAAUGGCCUGCUGCUGUGGUGUGGUGUGAACUGGCAGCUCGCCACUGGCUCUGCCUGGCAGCCAAGGGAAAAAGCAGCUUGGGAGUCAGUAGCUAUCCAGCAUCCACUGCCAUUUAUGACGUCAUAAAUGAAGGCCCGCCGGCUCCGACAGUGUGGGCAAAUAAAAAUGCUUCGGGCUUCGCGGGAAUGGAAUGGACUAGUGUGAAAAUACUGUAGAAAGGGACGGUUUACACGAGGUAGUAAAUAAAAAUUUAAAAAAUGGAUGGUGGAAUACCGUAUCGUAGUUGAAAAAUUAAUACGAGCAGGAAAAAUAAUUACCAGCGUAUUCUGCCGUCCAUCGCACGGAAAGGGAGAAAGGGCGGAGGACAAGCGGCCAAAAUAAGCAACAGAAGCCAGCCGCAGGCCGCAGCCCGUCACGGGGCUCACGGCGUUUUUCGCUGCUCGGUUGCUCCUCCCCCGUUCCCGCCUCCCGAGGGCGCGCUCAGCCACCGCCCACCGCCCACCGCCGCCUCCUCCCCGGUCCCCGGCCUCCCUCUCUCAAAUUCCGGGGCCGCCUGAUCCGGAUCGGAAUGCUGACGCGUGCGCCCCCUCGUGUGUUCCUCCUCCAGCCGGGCCCCCGCCCCGUGAUGGUCGCCGCCGCGCCGCUCGCGCUCCCGACCUCGCCGGCGCUCCCCCUCCGCGGCAUCUCGCCCGUCGCCGCCCGCCCCAUCUCCCACCGCCCCGCGCCGGCGUCCUCCCUCCUCCUCUCGCCCCCGCGCGCCGCAGGAGCCGCCGCCGCCUCCUCGCGUCCCCCGGCGGACGACGUCCCUGACGGCGGCAGCUCCUCGCACCUCCUCGCUGUCCCCGUCAACGUCCCCAUGGACCCCGCGGUCGCCGAAGACGCCGCCGUCGCCAAGCAGGUCAGCGACUCCCGCCGCCUUACUUUCGCUUUGCGUCCCUUGCUUCGGCUCAUCUGUCUCUCACACGAUUGUUGGGCUUCCUGCUGCAGGUGCCCGAGGUGGCGCCGCGCCCGCCGGAGCGGGACUUCGCCGGCACGCCCUACGUUCCCGUCUACGUCAUGCUCCCCGUAAGGAUGCAUCUCCUCCAUUUCCUUGUACUGGACUUGCGCGAUCGUGUUCCGAUUCAUGCUCGUGUGUUUGGCAGCUUGGGGUGGUCAAUGUCAGCGGCGAGGUGGUGGACGCGGACGAGUUGGUGGGCCAGCUGCGGGUGCUCAAGGCAGCCGGGGUGGACGGGGUCAUGGUCGACUGCUGGUGGGGGAACGUAGAGGCGCACAGGCCGCAGGAGUACAACUGGACUGGCUACAAGCGCCUAUUUCAGAUGAUCAGGGAGCUCAAGCUCAAGUUGCAGGUAAGAUGACUCAGCAUCUCAAUGCAAACUUCAGCAAUUUGCUAUUCUCUGAUUGUUGUGUGUCGCUUGAUGUAACACUUCUACAUCGAUCAUCUGUUGGUGAAGAAUGUCGUACUUCAGCGGCGAUUUCCUUUGCUCAUGUGGCUUACAUGCUGCUCUCGUUGAAUUGCUUAGGUGGUCAUGUCAUUCCAUGAAUGUGGUGGCAAUGUUGGCGACGAUGUGUCAAUUCCUCUCCCACAUUGGGUAACAGAGAUUGGAAGGAGCAACCCAGAUAUCUACUUUACUGACAGGGCAGGAAGGCGUAAUACUGAGUGCUUGUCAUGGGGGAUUGAUAAAGAAAGGGUUCUCCAAGGCCGAACAGCAGUGGAGGUACAAUCAUUUUGCUGGAUCUUGCUCAGUACUUAUCGCUCUGAAAGUUUGACUAAAGGUUAUCUGCUUGUUGAUUUCCACUUGCCUCCUAUAAUUCUGCAUCUUGAUCUUGUUGGCUAGUUUUGAUACUACAAGCUGCAGAGUGGCUUCGCAUGAAACUGUUAUUGUUAUGUAUGCAUUGUCAUGUGUUGCACUUUCAUGAUAAUGUUAUAAUAUUUUAGGAUGGUUGAAAGAUGAAAUUGGUUUUGUUCUAAAGAAAAUGCAUGUUCUGUAUACGCACACCUUUCAAUUCAUUUUCAGUGGAAGGCCAAUUGUGUUUACACAUUUCUUAUUUUAUUCCCAUAUAUCAAUGUAGGUAUAUUUUGACUUUAUGAGAAGCUUCCGAGUGGAGUUUGAUGAGUAUUUUGAGGAUGCGAUCAUCUCAGAAAUUGAGAUUGGACUAGGGGCUUGUGGAGAGCUGCGAUAUCCAUCUUAUCCAGCAAAACAUGGUUGGAAAUACCCUGGCAUUGGGGAAUUUCAGGCAAGUCUUCACACUUUGCUCUUUCUGUUGCACUUGCAUUAUUCUCAGGGUUUAGUAAAUACCUAUUGGUAUAUUUUUAUCAGCCAUUGAGAAUGUAUUGCCUCUUCAGUGCUAUGACAGGUACUUACAGAAAAAUUUGAGAAGAGCUGCAGAAGAACGGGGGCAUACUAUAUGGGCAAGAGGACCAGACAAUGCUGGCCAUUAUAAUUCGGAACCAAAUCUCACUGGGUUUUUUUGUGAUGGAGGAGAUUAUGAUAGUUAUUAUGGCCGUUUUUUCCUCAACUGGUACUCUCAGAUGUUGGUGGAUCAUGCGGACCGUGUACUGAUGUUAGCAAGGUUGGCUUUUGAGGGUUUAAACAUAGCUGUUAAGGUUAGUUAUCACUGUUAACUUCACACAUCCAAUUCCAGCACUUUGGUUGUUUUGCAGGCAUUCAUUCUUUCUUUUAGAAACCUGAUCUUACAAGUGUUAAAGUGGACUGAUCUUUACCAUUUACAUCCCCAAAUCAAAUAAAAUGAUUGAAUACCCUAUCCACUUAUGUGAUAUUUACAGGUCUCUGGAGUGCACUGGUGGUACAAAACUGCCAGUCAUGCUGCUGAAUUGACUGCUGGGUUUUACAACCCAUGUAACCGUGAUGGCUAUGCUCCAAUUGCUGCAGUAUUGAAGAAAUAUGAUGCUGCUUUGAACUUUACAUGUGUUGAAUUGCGCACUAUGGACCAGCAUGAGGUAUACCCUGAGGCAUUUGCAGAUCCAGAGGGCCUGGUAUGGCAGGUAGGGAUCCUUUCUUCCAUUGCCUGUUUUUGCAUUUCCUUAGCAACAGCUUACUUGCUGAUGUAUUGAAUUCUCUAGUGAGCAAAUACUUGGCAGCUGCACAGCAUCAUAUGUUCGCUAUUUAAUUACAAACACAUUGAUGUUGUAUUAGUGUCUUAUCAAUUGGAUGCAUUGUUUUUCAGGUGCUAAAUGCUGCGUGGGAUGCUGGUUUACAAGUGGCUAGUGAGAACGCUCUACCUUGCUACGAUAGAGAAGGAUUCAACAAGAUUCUGGAGAAUGCCAAACCACUGAAUGACCCAGAUGGACGGCAUUUGUUUGGAUUCACCUACCUGAGGCUUAGCAAAGUUCUGUUUGAGAGGCCCAACUUUUUCGAAUUCGAGCGCUUCGUCAAGAGAAUGCAUGGUAAGAUAUACUGGCCCACUGGAGUGGUCUGAGUCUGACAGCAAUCCUAUUUUAGCGCCAGUUAAUCAGAUGUUGACCUCUUGUGACGUUCUUUGCAGGUGAGGCGGUUCUUGAUCUGCAAGCAUAGAUGUGUAGCUUAUUACAUACACAUAUACAAGUGAUUCUGAUUGGCUUAGGCCUUACGGCCUACAUUUUUGCUCCUUUUUUUUGGUUGCGUAGGUGGUAGUAUCAGCUGAUUUUUGACCUGUUACAUAGAAUAGAACUCGCUGCUCUAUUUGUAAAGGCUAUUUAUAUAUGAAGACCCGUGGGUUUACUUGAAUUUUGGUGGGUAAACAGUGAAUUCGCAUCCAUGGAUGCCGUUGGCAACACUACAUCUGCCUUGCAUUGCAUGGCACAUUGGGCGCGGGCAGUCCCGUAAAGAUUCAUGAGGCUGCGCAGCGUGGUCUUUGGGCGUGAAACCUGAAAACCCAGGCAUUCUGGAACAAAGUGUUUCGAUUGUACUGUCCGCAUGUAAAUGAUGCUCAGCAAUGGAAGUUGAGUUUGGACUUGUCAAACGCCUCAUUUGCAGUUUAAGCGUGUGUUUGGUACUGUGCUUACUUCACCUAUAGGUACUGGCCUGAUUAUUCCUUCACAAAACUUGUCUGCACGGGCCUCAUGUCACCGUAUGAUCGAGCCGCGCAGAAAGGGGGAAAAAAGUGAUCAUCUUCUAGUAUCAAAUAUGAAUGAAUGGUACUAAACGUCUAAACCAAUGACACAAGAGUGCAGCUAGCUACUGCUGGGAGUCUGCGACACGGGGGCACCAAAGCAAAGCGAAUUUACAACAGGUGAGGUGCGCGGGGGUGUUCAGGAGGGGAAACCCGAGCUGCGCAGCACGAUCUGGCCGUCCUCGUCCUUGUCGAACACCCGCUCGAUGAGGUCGUUCCAGCUCAUCCGCUGCCUGGCCCCCGCCGGCGGGAAGCUCUCGCUCCUCUCCGGCUGCUGCUGCUGCUGGCGCCUGUCAUCGCCGUCGUCAUCGUCGAACGUGCCGUACAGCGACGGCGCCCGCGCGUCCGGCACCGACAGCGUCACGGCCCGGCGCAGCGCGGCCCUGUGCUCCUCCACGUGCUCCCUCUGCAGGGUCUCGUUCCGCUCCAUCCGCUGCUCCGAUGGCACCGACAUCGUCUCCUCCUCCUCAAGCAUCAGCUGUACACCAGCAGCGGAACAAUGUUACUAGUAGCACGAAGAAAUCACAGAGGCAGCUAAGCGACCCCAACUUGUACCAACAAGUAAUCCUAUGUGGCUGUGUCUACCUUAAUGAUCAACAAUCUACAUUUUCAAAUCUGAAAAUGUUUCCUUAAGAAAAAACCAAAACAAUGGUGCAGCCGGAAUUGCAUCUCAAAAACGUGUAACUGAAUAUCUGAACAAGAUUCUUUUUUAUCACUACCUCAGUUCCUCACAAUUUGUCCUUGUAUUUUAACAUCUCAGUUUCUACAAUGCAAAUAUAAAAAAUCUGCCCCACAACAUGAGGGGUUACAUUCUAGUUAGCCUGCACAAUUUCAGAAAAGAAAAAAAAAACAGUGAUAUCCAAAGUCCAGUUUACCAAAGAUAAAGCUAUCCCUUCAAAAGAGCUUAUGAGAGAAGGUUACUCAGGCAAGAAUACAGUGGUAAAUAGAGACUAGAAAGUAAAGAUAGCUAGUAGCAUAAGCAACUCACAUCCAAAGCCUUCUGGGCUUCCCUCUCAAUCCAAAUAAUGGCAUGGUCUGCUGUGGCGUUGCAGGAAAGAACAAUGUGCUCAAAUCUACCAUCCACAGGCACAGCUGUUUUAACUACCGGUGGAUAUCUUCCGCACCUGUGUUAUUCAAGGAAUUCAAUUUGUUCAUGGAAAUAUUGGACACCUUCGUUAUCGACACAGUAAUCUGACCAAAGGACAUAAAACACAGAGCAAGAUCAAUAUCAAAUUGUAGAAGUAUCAGUAUGGGUUCACAGUCAGUGGUGAAUAUAAUACUAGUUGAACAAAAUACUGACUACAUGACUAGUUACAUACAAAGUGACACUUGAUGGUUCUCUUGAAAGAAUUGAGUUGAAUAUUCAAAAACUAUUAGCAUAACUUGUUCUCUAUUUCCAUCAGUUGUGAGGACCUCUCCUGCAGUUAACUGAUACUAUGCAACAAGGUUGUAUAUCAGGGGCCACAUGAGGAUUCUUGCAUUAUAGAACACCAAAUCAGGAAAGGGUACCUGCACAUUUUUCUUUCCACUAUGUGAUAUAUCCGGCCUGGUGCAUAAAGCCUCCUUGGAUCCUUUAGCAUUGCGUCUUCAGGUAUACAUGUAUCCCUCAAACAUCUCAAACAUAGGAGGCACGGCAAGCUGUUCAAGAAGAGAACACGGCUUAAUUUCAGACUCGCUUGAGCCCAGUAAGCAGUAAACAUACUGAUACAUAGCUACAAUAUAGCUAGCACAAACAUUAACUGAAAAAAAAUAUUAGAUAAACCACCACCAGGUACAAUAGAAUCCCAGUUAUCUGUCCACAGCUCAUAGGACUUACUUGCAAUGCAGUCAUGAUGUUCAUUAGACAUAACAAUGAUAUGAUUUAUCAUCAAACAGAAAUACAGGGGCCGUUCGGUUGUUUUGCUGCUUUGCCUGGCCUUGCCUUGCCAGGCGAGCGAAUUCUUGCCGGCGCAAGCGAGCUGGAUUGGCUCUCCCGCAUCGGCAAGGUGAAACCUUGCCAGCACAGACCCUGAGAUAAGCUAGCUGUUCUUCCAAACGCACAGCCCUCAUCCCUAUCCUUGCUUAGCAAGGCUAAAUAGUACCCGGCAAUGGUUCCAAACGGCCCCACGGUUUCUGUUUGACAAAUAGACUGGUUUGUGUAAAAAACAGAGUAACUGGGGUAAUGCAAGGGGAAAGUAUGAGCCAAUAAUGAAUCACAUUAUAGUUUGAGAAACAAAAACCUUUUUAAUACUAACCACCAAACAUGUAAAUCAUCAGUUCAUAAUCAAGAAAACAAGAGCACUAUAUUAGUGGCACGGCCGUACCAGAGGAUUGACUUGAAAAUGUCUUCCAAAGGAGUAGCAGUCCUGGGCAAGAAGUCGUCCUGCCAUUGGGAAAGAAAGAUGAAGAACGGUUGAAAGCAGUGGAGUGCAUAAUACGAAUUAAGCCUGAGUGACUGACCUGUAGGACGACGGAGUUGAUGACGUCGGCGUAUCUGACGGCGAGGUUGAGCGACAUGCACCUGGCCGGCGCCAUGGCGUAGCAGCGCGUGCGGCUCCUGUCGACGUUUCCGAGCUUGUCGAGGUUAAGCACGACGACCAUGGUGAGCAUGGCUGCGAUGCCGGCGCCGAGGGAAUGCCCCGUGAAGGUGAGCGUGUAGUCGGGGUACCUCUCGAGGAGUUCCCUGAGGAGGUCGCACUCGGCGUCGAGCACCCAUCCGGCGGCCCUGAGGAGGCCGUUGUGGACGUACCCGCCGUCGAAGCGGCGCUUGCCGAGUCGGUUGUCGAGGAGAAGCGCGUAGUCGGACUCCUUGACGAGGUUGAGGCCCCGGAGCGCGAGGACGAUGUCGGCGUGGGCGUGGUCGAGGUAGAGGAGGUAGGGUGUGACGCGGCCCUGGGUGUCGGCGUAGUUCCGGCGGCGGAGGACGCAGGCGGGGUCGAUGCCGUACCCCCCGGGGGGCGCGAAGAGGAGCGGCGCGGUGGCGGAGAGGUCGGGCUCGUAGUUGGCCAUGACGAGGCGGCACAUGCGGGGCACGGGCUCGAAGUCGGCGGCGGAGGCGAGGCCCCAGGUGGCGCUGUCGGACUCGCCGGUGUGGAGGCAGCGCUUCCAGGCCCAGCGCGCGCAGGCCAGGCAGUAGACGCACUCGAGCAGCGGCAGGCCGCAGGCCAGCGACAUGGCCGGCAGCCGCGCCGGGGCACGAGGCGGCUAUCAGUCAUCCAUCGGCCGCCGGCGGCGGUUGUCGUCGCUGGGAGGGAAUUGCGUCGAACAGGUGGUGCGCGGGCCCCGGAUUGAAUCCGGAAUCAGGAUUCGCGGGUGUUGCCAAGGGGCGGAGAGAUCCAAAUCCAACCAACUAACGAUCGGGUGGGAAAUUGUUUUUGACUUUGCGAGGCGCAUACCACUCGUGAUUUUCUUUUUUCCCUUUUCGUGAACCCACUGGUGAUCUGAUCUGCGGACGAGUGAUGACCAGCUGCGGAGGCAACUGGCGAUGUCAACCGCUGCUUCAGGAGGUUGACGACGAAUCGGAGUACUAAAAUCCGAUCGGAGUGACGAAGAGAGCUAACGAAUAACGAUCCAGGCUUCCAGGUCAUGCCAAGGGAACGGGUCCAGGCCUCCAGGGACCUCUGGUCUGGUCACUGGUGCCUUCUGGAUUCCUUGCAGAAUUGCAGUCCUUCCAUACAAGACAAAGGCAUGAUGAGUGCGUGGCAUUGCACGGCGCUUGGGCUGGACAUGUUCAGGGAAGCCAUUGAAGAUGGUAUAUCCUUCUUCAUCUUCCAACCGCGGCAGCAUAUACCUUUCUUCCGAAUAAUAAUAGCGCUAAUGAUGGCUAUAUUCAAUUCAAACGCAAGUCUAAGCUCGAGAUUCGAGAAUCAUAUCUGAUUUUGUGACAGGUAAGAGAAGUGGGAGACCAAACGUGUCAAAACACCAGGAUAGUACGCGACAAGAUUAGAAGUUUUGUGAUGAUGUACAAGUCUAAUCUACAGACAAAGUCCAACAAUCUACAAUCAACGGGAGCCCCGGGCAUGUCCAUUGUCCUGUACUACAAUUCACUGCGUGCCGUUCCAUUAGAUCCUACUACAAAAAGCAGGCUCCCGGAGAGCCCCACAAGGCCCACAAACAUCAGCUCCUCUCUGUCUAUCCGCUCAUCAAUUGCAGCAUAGCAGACCGCGUGUACCACGAGGCACGACCGCACGAGGAAAUGGAGCCACCCGUGUACGUCGGCCUCACAGCAAGUAGAACUGCGAAUAAAGAUGCUCCCUGAUCUUGUAAUAGUCCUCGCACAGGGGGCCCUCGAUCACGAUCUGCUGAGAACCCGUGCUGCCCUGCAACACACCACCACAACAAGCAUAGCUGUGUAAGCGUGUGCCAGCCGAGGUUCCACGGAACCAUGCUCUUGCAGCCUUGUUGCAAUAUUUCACAAGAAAUUCAAAGUGUCUGCUUUGCCAUGGGCAGUUUGUCCAUGAACAACUGCAGCAGGUCCAAGCUUGCUGAUUAAUAUAUGCGCGCCAUAAGGUAAGCAAUUGGUCCUAAAGGGAAGCUAUGGUACCUUCUGGGAGUCACCAAUCUUGCGCACCGUGAUGUGUUCGCCACACCGUAAUGCACCACCGGAAAAUUCAACCUGCAGCAACUGUUUCCUUAGCGACGAAUGUCAAUGGCUUCAGUAUACAUCAACAGAGAUUAGCUAGCCCUGCCCACUUAACAUUAGCCACCCAAAAAUCAUAUGUAGCGGCUUUCGUCAACCUAAUCUUGUAAUCGGCUGUAAGCAUCUAGAGGCUAUGCGUGUUCAAGGAAAAAAAAACAUGUAUGGGCUAUUAGGCUAUGUAAACUAAACAGCCUGUGCAGCUGACAACGUGCCAUCUAAUAUCCUGCAGGAUGCUAGAAAUAGAGAAAGUUGCCACUUGCCAGCUCCAGUUUUUUCUCAACAUACUAAUACCACAUACACAUUUGAUCCACUUGUGUUCAACUGAACCCUACUUAGUAAAUAAAAGUAAACUAAAAGUUUGGAUAAAUCAUAAAUGUCAUUUCAGGUACAGUGGAAGAUCGAAGAUUCAGGAAUGCAAUAAACCUACCUGCCAACCUUUAUUUUCCAGAAAUUGUUUAAAAUCAGACAACUUUAGAUCACCCACAAGAACUGGCUUGUGGGGUGGCGGUUUUGACGAUGGGGGAAGCAGAAUAAGCUUUUCAUCUUCUUUUCCAACUUCUGCAUCCACCCAAGCAAUUUCAUGCUCACCCAACUGCAGUCCAUGUUAGUGUUAGCGAUUUCGUAAUGAUGAUGAUCCAUAGUGAGGCAAGUGCAUAACAAAGAAAGGUAUUUAAAAAUUGAGGAUGAAAAACAUGGUUACUUGCCUAAAAAGGAAUCUAUAACUACCAAUUCAAACUAGGUGGGUUUACAGUGAAUGGACAACAUUUUGGCAUGCAAGGCCUUUGAAGUUGACUAAUAAAUUCAAGUAUUCAACUAUUUCAAUAUUAUUAACAGCUAGCAACUGAGCACGCAGUAAGCAACCAAUCACCCUAAAAUCAAAAGAUGCCACAUAAGGUCCGGAAGCAGCAACAUUUAGAUUUCAACACGUAAGGAGGUAAAACCCUUAAAGAACUUGCAAUUUUGCAAAGGACAUUUUUUUUUCUAUAACAAUUUCACAAGGGCUUAAGUUGGGGGCUAAACAAUACAAAGUGAGAACUUGGACCGUUAGAUUGUCAUAACAAAGUUCUCUUGAGUUUAUUAAGAGCAACAGAAAGGAUAAAAUAUAAAAAUUUAGGGAAAUAUAACUCUUACCUUUUUACAAAUAAUGUUACUCAUUAACUUCUCUGAAAGUUGUACCUGAGACAAGAUACCACAAACAUCACAAAGAUUGCAAAUGGAAGGUUGAGGGAAUAUGCAACAUAUAAAUUGUACUGUACAUGAUAUAGUUAUGUCACAAAUACACGCUCCUAGCUUUAUAAAUAAUGGCAUGUACACGAGGGUCUCACUGCCGCCCACAAAAGGAUCAUAAUUUUGCAUAAUAACUUAUAAAUUUGAAUGAUUGGUACAUGAAAGUGGUUUGGUUUUUCCUCUACUUGCUCCAGACAUCAGAUAAGAAGUAGCACAUUAAUUUUUAGGCUGCCUGACCUUCACAACCUCCUAAACCUUCCACUUAAUAUUUAAAAAGAGUUUGCAGUUAAAAUACGAACCUUAUAGGCACAUAAAUCCGAUGUUACAUCAAUUGUUUCCUCAAUCUGAGGAGCAUAAACAUGCAAGUCUAAAUUCUUUGCACAAUGCAUUUUCAAAUGUUCAGUAGCUUCCGCUGAUCCAUGCACCAAAACCUGCAAAAAGUCAUGCAUGCUUCAGCAUGAGGUAACAACUUUUUAUGCACAGGGCAACCACUUAGGCACUGAACACAAGCAUAACAAAAAAUUUCUAUGCACAGGGCAACCACUGACCACAAGCAUAACAAUUGCAGGUCACUCAAAUCUUGUUCUAACUAAUCAAACAAAGAAGCAACAGGCACUUGCGAUUUAAAUAAAGUUUUGCUGUUGGCAUGUCAACCCUAGAAAAAAUGCAUAGAAAUGACUUAAUAUACCUACCAUCUUUGGUGUCAGCUAUGAAGAUAAACUACACGUACUAUAUGUCCCAGAAAGGAGCAUGCUUUAGUUAAAUAUGUAAAAUCUAAACCAUGCAGGUAUAAAAAGGAAUAUCUAGAAUUGAAGUCACAUACAAGUUUCAGUGGAGCCACAUGAGCUAUAACUGACUUUACAGAACGCCCAUCAGAGCGACCUUCAAAGUCCAUAUAAACCAAUGAGCAUUUCACUUGAACCUGGAAAAAGAAUCAGUAUAGCUCACAUGUAAAUUCAAAUCUGGAUAUAUAUAUAUAUAUAUAUAUAUAUAUAUAUAUAUAUAUAUAUAUAUAUAUAUAUAUAUAUAUAUAUAUAUAUAUAUAGCUAGCUCUGCAAUUGACGCAGAGACUAAUGAAAGAAAACAAAUAGGAAAGAACUUACAGUCAUCUCAUUGGAAAUAACUUUUGAGGGCGUUGAAUCAAGAAGCAGGCGUGCUGAACCAUCGUCAAUUUUACCAUCUAAACCAUCUCCAGAACCCUGAAGAAUAAGAUAUGCACGUAAGAACCGAAUGAACAAUUGAGUUUCUUCUUAGUCCAAAUAUGGCAACAAGGGUUUCAUGUAUUUCCAGUUAUCGUUUAAAGCAUUUUUCAGCUUCAUGAAGGAAUGCACAAAGUUAAGUAACAAUGAACCGAACAAAGUUCAGCUUCAAAUAUAGCUAAUAUGCUCCAACAGAACCGCUGAAGUAUUCAGCAGAAGCAUAUGAGCCAGUCAUGCAACUUAAGUAACAAUGAACAAGAAUUAUAUGACAGCCAGUUCAUUUACAAAUGACCAACUGUCAAAAUUCAAGAGGCAUAGUGGGUGCGUAAGCAAACUUACAAGCAUCAGAGUACUAUCCAUUUCUUCUUGUUUCAUCGUAUAAUCAUCAGGAUUGAUGACCUCACCAAAGUCAUCCCAUUCGGCAGUAUUUUCAAAGAAGGGAAACAUUGGAGCAACACUGGUUGAAGGAGGGACAAAUCCAUCAAUGAAAAUAUCAUUGCUCCCACCAAAAUGUGAACCAGCUGGUAGUACCACAAAAUAAAGAAGGAUAGUCAACUAACAAAUCACCUAAUAUUAAAACCCUUAAAUCAUAAAACAAGUUUGAGGAAACUAAAUGGAAUAGCAGAUAUGUUCUUAUAAACAUCAUCGUCCUGGCUGCUAAAUACAGUCGAGAAUCAUGAAAGGGGAUAUUGAACUUGAUCAGGUCAAUGCUUAAAGGCAGAAAAAAUUAGAGCAGGGUCAAAGAAACAGCAAGUGUACUCUAGAUGUGUGGUAAGUUCUGACGGAGAUUGACCAGCAAAGUUCAUAAAAAUGUCUAGCCAUAGUAUACCCUUGGUGGAUUUACGAGAUGAGCUUGAAUCAAUGAGCAUUGGGUCUGAAGCCUUUGCAUUUGAUCCAUGGGAAGCCUUUAGUUCCUCUUCUUUGACAAGGCUAGCCUUGAUUGCUUCUUCCUUUUUGAUCCGUUCCUGUUCUUCUUCAUAAGCUUUUAGCUCAUCACCCACCAAAGGAAUUCGCUUGCUCAUAGUGACCUUUACAGCUUUAGGGGGUGGGUCCACUUGAAGCAUUCGAGCAAGUGUACCAAACUGGAGGGCAAAUAUUUUCUAGUCAGAUAAUUGUAGAAAGAUAGUACAUGCAUUAUGUUUGUAAGAGAAACAAACAUUAAGACUAAAAGACUGGUAGUUUAAUGAAAGUGAGGCUUCGUAAUCAUAUAUAUUUUGUUCACAAAUUAUAAAAGUUCUAUUUAGCAUCUAGUUCAUCUGCUCUUUACUUUAAGAGCAUAUUCAUCUUAAUAUCUGAAAUUUCAAAUAUGCGCGUGCAAACUGUCAGAAGCCAUAAUUUAGAAGCCUCAAUAGUUCUUGUGACAAGUCAUUUCGGAUUACUAGCUACUGAAAGCACAUGAAGAUUGAUGACAAGACUAACACAUCUGCAUAGAGUUAUAGAAUUAUAUGCCAUGCACAAUAAUGUACCUGUCCCUUCUCAGUAAAGAGCACUAGAUUCCUUGCUUCAUUCGCCAUCUCAACAAAUAUGUCAUGAGAAAAGCCAACCUCCAAACUUGCCAUGGACGCCAGAACCACCUGCUAAAUAACUGUUAACUUCAAGGUUCCAACAGUAUGGUGGAGAGCAGAGAAAUAUGUUACCCUAACCUUUGGAGUAUCUCCCAACUUUUCAAGAUCUUCUUUGUUAAUUAUCAGUGUGACCUUUCUGCAACACAGAAAAAUCGACUAUUGUUAAUGAUAGAAUCAGAUGGACUUCGGUAGUUCAAUUUAUUUUUUGAAAAACUGUUCACUUGAUACAAAUAUCCAAAAUUAGUGUAACAUUGAUUAAAAGAGAUACGUAAGUAUGGCUCAAAUGAUAGAAUUCUAAUAACAGAACAACUCAGACGAGAUAUAGUAUAACUAUGACUACAUAAGAUGCAAUAAGAGAGUAUUAUUCUUCGAACUUAAAUAGUGAACAUAGAGCAAAAAGAACCAAACAAAGUUUUGCCCUAAAAAAAAACCAAACAAAGUUUUAGUUAGAACUUAUAGCUGUUUGAGGUCAUACUUUAAUAAGAAGGCAUUAGCUCUACUGCUUUCAAAAGAUUUUGCAAUAUGAUCACCCAUCCAUUCAAGAAAACUCUUGACAUAGUCGACUGUACUUGUAGAAACAUUUGUCAGAAAGUAGAUAGGGUACUCCAAACGCCGGUCACCCCAAUACUGCAACAUAUCAACAUAAAAAGUUAGCACAUUAUUGAAAUAACAGGAAUACAGAGUCUCGUGGUAGUAUCAGAGAUUUCACCUUAUCCAAUAUCAAAAGAAGUUCCAACACUCUACCAGCAGUAUCAACAGGAAGUAACACACUUCCACCACUUCCUAGAACUUUAACUAAUGAAUCUGCAUGAAACAUGAUGGCAUUAAACAACACUGGCUAGGAUGCAUCACAUAUAUAAAAAGGAAAGUGUGGUAAACAUAUCAUUUUGGAACUAUAAAUUUAACCAUGAAACUUCAUGACAAGACAAAAUGGUACUCCCUCCGUUCCAAAUUAUAAGUCAUUCCAACUUUCUUGGAGAGUCAAACCAUUUUAUGUUUGACCAAAAUUAUAGAGAAGAUCACAAAAGUUUAUGGCACCGAAUAGAUAUACUAUGAAAAUAUAUUUAAUGAAGAAACUAAUGGUACCUAUUUGGUAUCAUGAAUGUUAGUACUUUAUUGUAUAAAUUUGGUCAAACUUGAGAUGUUUUGACUCUCCAAAGAAAGUUGGAAUGACUUAUAAUUUGGAACGGAGGGAAUAGAAGCUAGCACUUAGGAAUACUAUUAAAACUGCAAAAUCUAAAGAAACCAAAUAAUAAAAGCAUGCCCAGCGCUGAGUGAUGUACCAAUGAAAUCUUGAUCCUGUUUCUUUCUGUAGCCUUGAUUGUUCAAAGCGUUGUAAGCAUCAGUUAUCAGAACAGCUGGCCGCACAAAAGAUCCAAGAACAGUACCAUUCAAAUGCCUGGAAAUACGAUAAUUUUAGUAGUUUAUGCAAAAGAGAACACUAAAUCUGUUCUGGAAAAACACAGAGGAUCUAACAUCUCUUUCCGAUGGUUGAAGUCAACAGCGUACACAACAUCCUCUCCAUCUUUUGUUAUCUUCCACACUGUGCCCCCCAAAAGAUGCCCAGCCACAUGGGGAGCAAUAACAAUUCCUUCACCUUUAUCUGUCAAGAGAUACAGUAUGAGCAAAUGUAGUGGAGCAUGCUAAAACGAUGUAACAGCAUGAUCUUACUGACCAUUCAGAAGGUAAUUUUGUGAGUAUUUCAAUCUCACAAUGUUUUGGAAUGCAGCAUCAACAUCAUCCAAAGUAAACAAGUCAAAGUCUGAGACUUGCUGCAAAAGAAGGUAAGGGUCUACUGUGAACAGAUAUAGACUACAGAGUCCAGUUUUCUCGAACAAAUUGGGAGAGAGGGAGGGAGACUGUGUGGUAAUGCAAAUGAGUGUGAUUGAAAAGUGUACCCCUUAUGGAAAUAUUGGGCACCAAGAAGCUUACCCAUCGAGAUAGAAAAUGGUCGUACAUGGUCAAAAGGCCAAGUCUAAACACAGGUUCUGUUGCAUAAACUGGUGCAGAGAGUCCAAGAUGUUUCAUAGCAUAAGGCAAAGCUCCUAGAUGCAUCAUGUCAGGAUGUGACAAAAGAACAGCAUCUAUAGUUGGUGCAACCCUGAAACAUAUAGAGUGCUCUUAUGAGUGCAAGUGAAAAGUACCAAACAAUUUGCUUCGACCAUAAUAGCAUAUUGACAGCAAUGGCAUCUAUGCAUUCUGCAAUGAUGGAAAGUAUCUCCUUUACUCAACGAGUGAGGAUUUUGGAAAGAAAUAUGUAGGAGUGCAUCCUUGCAUCUGUAAGAUGUGUAAAGGUAGUAUAACAAAUGGCAGGAAAAUGAACUGUCAACGUUCAGCACAUAAGUCACUGGAGAGGCUAUGCUCAAGGUGGCCAAAGUUGCAGUCAUGUUUUUACAUGCAUCCUUGUUACAAGAAACAAUAGGCAGAGACCACACAUUUACACCAAUUACACUAGACUACACGUUAGGCAUUAAAUCUACAUAAAUAACAGGCCACUAAGCAACAGACACACAUCCAAGCUCAUUCGUGAGCAUAAAUGUUAGUAUGGGCUCACAAGCAUUCGCCCUCCAGCACAUAAGCACGAAAGCACAAACUCGGCAGUCAAUUUUCCAAACAAGCUGGAAAUCACACUGGUUGUAGCACACAAAUUACAAAACCCUAGGACUUGCCAAACCGCGAGCGAGCCUCCAUCCUAGAAACGCAGAGGCACCAAUCAUCAGCCAGAAUUUACACUACUCCCCCGAUUUGUGCAAUUAAACCAAUACGUGGUUCGCAUUUCAUCAGGUCCCGACCCUAUCUGAGCUGAGCGCAGCGCCAGCCGAACUCCAGUCUCACUCUCGGAGACAAUUCGUCGAACAGGUGUACUAAUGUGGCGUCGGGAGCGUGAACCACUCCCUCACGAGGCCAUUGAAUCGACGACAAGCUAAGUUCACAAGGGUAAGGAGAGGCAUACUUGGCGAGGGCUUGGAGUUGGGAGGUGUCGCAGAGGUCGGUCCAUCCGCAGUCGAGGAGGAAGCGGAAGCCGUCGACGGCGAGCAGGUAGCACAGGGGCCCCUCCCCGUACGCCCCGCUGAGAGGCGUCACCUGCACCGACGUCCCCAUCUGAUCUGAUGUCCCCUCCGGCGGCGCCGGUGGCUCGACGGCGAGCGGAGGCGGAGGAUUCGGCCUUGGUGGGGUUGGAGGAGUGUUCAGAGUCGGAAGCAGCGAACCUUUGCUAAACCCGCGCCAGGUUCACUUCAGGGUAACUGGUCUGGGCCGUGUUGGGCCGAAAAAAUCAGGCCCGUAUGGCCCUCGAAUCCUUUUGUGUCCACGUGUUCCCCAGCUCCGGUGCGGUGAGCCCUUCCCUCGCCGCCGGCGACCCCGAAACAAUUGACGCGCAGUGAGAAGACGGCCACCCAAUCCGCAAGGAAGCGAAGCUCCUCUGCUCCGGUCGGGUCAGGUCCCUUUUCUGGUUGGGUUCUCCGGUCGGGUCAGGUCCCUUUUCUGGUUGGGUUGAGAUUCUCGUUUGGUGUCUCUGGUUGGAUGGAUCUAGGCAAAACCCUAACUCGCGCAAUAUCUCUACGCAGUUGCUUCCGAUGGACGGCGCCGCCGCUGCUGCAGGAGGUAGUGGGGAGCCGGCGGCCAACGGGUCCAAAUCUGAGGGGCAGCAGUUCGAUCCCAGCCGGAGUAAGCCGGAGCUCCCGUCUCAACUGGCUUCAAUUCGUUUCUGUAGAUUCUUCUGUAUUUCUAGUUCGUGCUGUAGGUUUGUUUCUGCUUUGUCCGUAGGAAAUCAAUCACAACCUCUCUCGCCAUGGUAAUGGAAUAUUGAAUUAUUACUAGCUUGCUUUUAUGUUGGUUAUUUGCAGACAUAUUUAUUCCCUGAAUUAUUGGCCUUACAAAAAUUGUUUUUGGUUGUGGGGUCAUGUUCAAAAAAAAAUUCAAAUGUUUUUUGCUAGAUUACUUUAUGGUACUAUAAAGUGUAAGGACAGUAUCUCUAGAAUGUGGUUAAACUGAAUGUUCAGUUGUAUUCUUUGGCAUUAUCUCAAAAAAGAUGAUCCACCAAAUCUUUGAGUUUUUCAAAUGAGUUGCAUACUUCAUUAAUCUUGGGGGUGGUCUGACACCUAAUUUCUUGAUGUUUUAAGUGAUUGGGAUAAUCAAAAGGAAGGCCUUGAUUAAGGAUUUGGCUGCUGCGUACCAUGCUGAGUGUAUAGCAUCCUGUAAAGAACUCUUGCAGCUUCAGAGAAAGUGGGAGGAGGUCAGUAUCCAUCUUCCAAAAUCUCACCUGUGGAGCUCCCUCUGUUCCUCCGUAUUGCAUAGCACUGUAAUUCAGGGUCCCUUUCUUGUUUAUUUGCAAAAAAUAUUUGUUAAUUCCCUUGGGAGUUUAGUUAUUUUGAAUUCAAAUUAUGGUUGACUAAACUGAUUGAAGUCAAGUCAUUGAGUUGUGAAAUGAACAUUCAUAUUGUUCUUCAGAGACAGUAGCACAUAGGCCUGGACUUUUGAAUAGCAAGAAGAAUUCCCUAAUGUGAUUGAAUUGCAGCAAUCAGUGGUGCAUCUAUAUCAUUGUGCAAUGUGUCAAAAGAAUAUGUGCUGGACCCUUCUUUACUUUUAAGGAAUCCAUUUUAUCAACUCAUACUUGUUAGCUAGUUUUUCAAUUUCUAACUUUUUUUUGAGCUUUGGGAUCAUGUGUUGAAUUGUAUGAGUUGUUGAGAAAUAUGCUAAUUCUAGCAUUGUGGAAUUAUAUGUAUGCUUUACAGCAGUGAAAAGUGUCCCAGACUCUUUACUAUUACAUCAACACAUACUUUAAGUUAGUUUUUCAAUUUAUAGUUUUUUUUGAGCUUCGGGAUCAUGACUUCUCUUGUUCCUGUUUUUGAGAAAGAUGAUAAUUCUAGCACCCUAGAAUUAUAUAUAUUGCUUUACAGUAGUGAAAUUUUGCUUUUGCCAGGUAGUCCUGCAGCACCUUUUUUUUUGUGUGCAACGAGUCUCAAAAUGUUAAUAUUGAUUCACAGGAACAGUAUGUGGAAGUCAAAAUGCCUGAAGAACCAAGACUGAUGACAAUGAAGACCUCAAAGCGUAGGAAGAAGUAGAUUUAGGAGAUUAAGAGCACUUUCAGCUCUGUCAACUGCUGUGGUAGUUAGCUUGACAGUGAACUAAAUACAAGGAAACAUUGCCCUCAGGUGGGCUUAUGCUCUAAAGUAUCAUUUGCCUGCUUCCCAUUGCUCUUUUAACUACUCCCUUCGUUUCAAAUUGUAGGUUGUUUUAGCUUUUCUAGACACAUGAUUUUUGCUAUGCACAUAGAUAUACAUUAUGUCUACAUACAUAGUAAAAUCUAUGUAUCUAGAAAAAUCAAAACGACCUACAAUUUGGAAUGGAAGAAGUAGAUUUUUUUUUGUUCUUUAAAGAUAAGGCUCACAAAGAAAUACUAACACCUCGGGUCUUUUUGCAGUUGCGUCCAACAAAGAAGGCAUUUAUGUAUCUCACUGAUUUUCAUUCCAAUCAUCACAAUGUUUUGUUCUUCAAAGAUGAGGCGUACAAAGAAAUAACACUUGAUUUUUUUGUAGUUUGAUUCACCGAAGGCAUUUAGUUGUCUCGCUGAUUUAGGUCUAAUCAUUACAAUGAUUGCAGCUGUCAGGAUAUUUGAUCUAACUGAUGCAAUGUUAUAUUCAUAUGUUCCAACAUGCUUUCACCUUGAAUUGAAUGAAAUAUCAUGUUUUAACGCAAGUAACAGAGAUGAGGUUGAAGCAACCCCAUUGUACGGUUUUGCAGUGCCCGUUGCACAGGGCAAAGCAUUGUAUGUCCUAGAUGAUUACAUGUGUAAAGGCUAGUAGGUGGUGCAGUGUCCUUCCACGCCUCCUUUGCUAGGUUGUGAGCAAUUCUGUUGACUGCUCUGUAGAUCUUUCUGCAAUCAAAAGUUUUGUUUCUGUUGACAAAGUCUGCGUUUCAUAACUAGACAACACCAAUUUUGAAAGCAUAAAGUGGUAUAAUAUGCAUGCACCCAAAAGAAAAUCAGCAUCCGCAGCAUUUUGACAUGCAUUUCCACUCACCUUGGUCUUUUUCUCUCUUUCCUCAGCUUAUUGAUUUUCUCUUGUGGUGGUUCCUCGUCUUGGUGAUCGCUAAGUUCUGUUCGAUAACAACAAUUUAAACACUAACCAAAUUUGCAAGAGAAACAUGAAUGGACCACUGAUGGAUGUUUAUUUGAAGUAUAUACCUUAUUCAUGGAUCGCAAUGCAGGUUUGAGGUACAUGCUUUGCCAUUUGACCAAACGAAGAUUCAAUAUGGGGCAUCUGUUCAUUUGGCUUUCAGUUUUCUUCCUCCUCUUCUUGGUCUUUACUGAAUCUUUAAUCUUGUUCUGAUCUUGAUGAUUCAAUCGCUCUAAAGCAGGGCACCUCGUGAUACUGCAAUAUAAUAUUAUAUUAGUAACACAAUAUUAUAUCACAAUGCAUCUCAUCAAGAAGUAACGGCCUAAAUUAAAUUCUAUCACAUAAUAUAUAUGAUAAUCUAACAAUAUCUGUGCCACAUCAACAGGAUGGCUGCACUGUCUACCUUGAAGCAGCAGUAAUGCCAUUCCCACUACCACCAUUGUCAGCUUCACUAGCCGAUACUCCAUUGUCAUCAGACUUCACAGCAGAAGCAAAUGAAGAAAAGGAAGACUCUUCCAGCAUGGUGACCACAAAAUUCAAGGUCCUGCGCCGGAUCAUCUGGUACUGUAUGAAGACUUCAUCCAUCUUUGUUGAACAGAUUCAGAUACGAUAAACAACAAGGAUCGUUCGUAGGAGGUUUUGGUUUAAGGCAGCGCCGCUUGUGUGAUCGGGAGCAAAUUAAACAAACAGAAGGGUCACGUCAGUGUGAGUACAGUAUGCACACGACGGAAAAAAUGGACCAGUCUCUGGAUCAAAUCUGAAUCUAUCUGAUGGCAAUGCAAGAACCAUCCGCCAAGUCGCAAAAUACUUACCUGGGUACUUGACGAGGCGAAAUGGCGGUAUGGUCUUCUCACUGUCCACCGUCGCAUCCACGAAGCAUAAACCUCCCUGUCGCCGUCAGUUAGGAGGAAGGCGCGAACGGAGGCGCUGUUGGCCUCCCAGUAGCCUUCCGAGUGCUCCACGGAAGACUGGCUCCCGAAGGAGAGGUGGUCCUCCAUCAACUGCCCCCCGGCCGAGCCCGACCACGAGCUUGCGUCGUCGUCGUCGCCGACGUCCGCCCCCCUCGUCUUGCUCUCCGACUUGGACAUUGCGUCGCCAAUCGACACCACCCCGACCUCAUCUGAUCUACGGUUUCCUAUGGACGACCUGAGCGGGAGAUUUAAAGUUGGACACGUACUCCCUCCAUCCUAAAUUAUUUUUAAGCUUUUCUAGAUACAUCAUUUUUGCUACGUAUCUAGACAUACCUGUAUACAUAGGUGCAUGUCAAAAGUUAUGUAUUAGAAAAAACAAAACGAAUAGUAAUUUGGGAUAGAGGGAGUAAUUCACAAGCUUCACAACAUUAAAAACUAAUUCGCAAUUAUUUAUGAAUCUUUUUUUUUUUGAAAUAUGGUGUAGAUGCAGACGCUUGUAUAAACGCACGCACACUCAUCCCUAUGAAUACACACGCAACCUAACCUCUAUGAUCGAGCACCUCGAGACUAAAGGUAGGUACAUUGCUACACCUGCACGUAACCAGUCUCAUGCAAUGCCACAUAGGACUUUUGGUGAUGUGGAGGAGGGAGAGCGAGGUGAGAGAAAGUGAUCGUUAUUUCGCAAAACAACCAUCUCAUAAAGCUAAAUUUUAGGACUAUGAGAUAACUCCAUAAUCAUUGUAAGAGUUAUUGUUGCCAUACAACUAACAAAUUUCAUUUUUUAUAUGUACAAAUUAAGAAAUAUAUUGUUGCCCACUACUUAUCACCAAUCAUGCCACCCCGCGACGCCCAACUACCUUCAAAUUCGAAAACUUCUGGGUACGGUUGCCAAACUUCCAACAGAUCGUCUCCACGGCUUGGAACAGACCGACUCACCACACGGAGCCUUUUCACAGACUGGGCCAUAAGCUUUACGUGACCUCGCAGGCGCUUAGACGCUAGAGUGAAUCCAUGCUCUCGGACAUGAAAAUGAAGAUGUACAUGGCUCGAGAACUCAUUCUACUCCUUGAUGAGGCACAAGAUAACCGUGCCCUUUCUGCGGAAGAAACGAUUCUAAGAAACAAACUCAAAAAGCGACUCAUGGGAUCGGCAGUCAUCGAACGAGCUAGGAAAAAACAAUGCGCCAGGGUCACAUAUCUUAAAGAAGGGGAUGCUAACACAAGAUUUUUUCACCUGAAGGCCAAUGGUCGAAAGAGAAAAAAACUUCAUUCAAAAACUGCGUAGCGACAAUGGCUGGGCUUUCACCCAUCACGACAAACAACACAUAGUACAAGAUCACUUCAAAAAUAUUAUGCGAGAGCCGCCACACAGAACGCUUGACUUAAACUGGUCGGCCCUAAUCUUCCCGUCUGUUGAUCUGUCUUCGCUCGAUAACCCAUUCACCGAAGAUGAAAUCCGACGGGCCAUCUCACUGAUGCCAAAAAACAAGGCGCCCAGCCCAGACGGUUUUACAGGUCUCUUCUUUACAACCUGCCGGGAGACAAUCAAAGGAGACCUCAUGGCGGCAAUAGUGUCUUUCUUCAACUCUCGCUGCGCAGACCUUAACCUGCUUAACAAAGCAACUAUAAUCCUAAUACCCAAAAAGGAUGGGGCAGAGAACAUAGCUGAUUACAGACCCAUCAGCCUGAUCCACGCAAUUGCGAAGAUUAUCACUAAGACCUUAGCCCUACGUCUAACCCCCUUCAUGAACCAGUUGACCUCACCGGGCCAAAGCGCUUUUAUCAAAGGACGAAGCAUCCAUGAUAACUUCCUCUACGUCCAGAACCUGGCACGUCGAUUCCAUAGACACAGCCAGCCAACACUGCUUAUGAAGCUGGAUAUCUCCAAGGCCUUUGACUCCGUACGAUGGGACUACCUCCUCUCCAUGAUGCAACGCAGAGGUUUCCCACCAAAAUGGAGGGGCUGGAUUGCAGCUAUCCUGUCCACAUCAACAUCGCGAAUUUCACUAAACGGCCUACCCCUAGAACACAUACAGCAUGGAAGAGGACUACGCCAAGGGGACCCGCUCUCACCACUCCUUUUCAUCCUAGCAAUAGACCCACUACAAUAUCUGCUGUCGGCCGCCACGGAAAAGAGACUGCUCCAAAAACUAAAUAACAGAGCGGCAAAAAUGAGAACAUCAAUUUACGCCGACGACGCGGUGAUUUUCAUCAAACCUACCACAAGGGACGUCACAAACCUGAAGAACCUCCUGCAAAAUUUCGGAGAAGCGACCGGCCUCAAGACGAACAUCCAAAAAACUAGUGUUACAACAAUAAGCUGCUCCCACAUUAAUAUCCCAGAAGUGCUCUGCAAUCUACCAGUGACACAAAAGAAUUUCCCGAUAAAAUACCUGGGCCUCCCUCUAACGGUUCAACGGCUUCGUCGAAUAGACUUCCAACCUCUAAUCGACAAAAUGGCGAGCAAGCUGUCCAAAUGGAAGGGAAGAAACCUUACACAGGCCGGCCGGUUAUGCCUCACCAAAUUCGUCCUAUCCUCACAGCCGAUAUACACCCUCACGGCUCUCAGAACCCCCAAAGAAGUGCUAGAGGAAAUCGACAAAAUCAGGAAACAUUUUCUAUGGGCGGGAGACAACGAACUCACCGGGGGAAAAUGCAAGAUCAACUGGAUAAGGACAACUUUACCGAAAGAGAAUGGCGGCGUGGGCAUCCUCGACCUCCACAAAUUUGCACGAGCACUCCGCCUCAGAUGGCUCUGGCAGGAAUGGGUUUCCCCGGACAAGACAUGGGUCGGAACCGCAACUCCAUGUGACGACCGGGACAGACUGCUGUUCGCUGCAUGCACGACGAUACAACUCGGCAAUGGAGACAAGACCCUUUUCUGGCAAGAUGCGUGGGUUACAGGCCGAAGACCGAAAGACAUUGCUCCACAACUCUACGCAAAAACCAAAGGAAAGAAGAAGUCAGUGCGAGCGGCCCUCGACAACAAUAACUGGAUCAGAGAUCUUCAGCUCACAUCAGGCCUUACAAACACACUUUUGAACGAAUUCAUAGCUCUCUGGCCCCUAAUUCAACAAUCCAAUUUAAACCCGACCCAGGAGGACGCCAUUACAUGGAAAUUCACACUAAGCGGGCAGUACACCGCUGCGUCUGCAUAUAAGGCCCAACUCCUUGGCAACAUGAAGACGCCCGACCUAGCAACAGUGUGGCAAACCUGGGCACCAGCAAAAUGCAAGAUUUUCGCAUGGCUAAUUCUCCAAAAUAGGGUCUGGACUUCGGACAGGCUAGCGAAACGGGGUUGGGACCACACCCCAACAUGCACACUGUGCAGAUGCACGAUGGAGACUGCCCACCAUCUCUUAGCUGACUGCAGAUACACAAAGCAGACUUGGAACCUAGUAGCACAAUGGCUGUCCCAAGAGAAUCUGAAACCAAACCAAUGGAAACACAGCACAACGGCCAUCGAGUGGUGGACAAACAUCACAUCAACGACAGGAGUUCCGCGACAAGCGUCCCGAAGCCUCACUCUCCUUAUUAUGUGGGAAAUAUGGAACGAAAGAAACUCGCGCAUCUUCCGCCAUCAGGGUUCCCCGACGACAUCGCUAUUUGCAAAAAUCAAACUCUCUGCCAACAUGUGGAUAACAGCAGGGGCGAAAAUCUUAGCGGCGAUCCCGCCAUAGAUGUCUCACAGGGGGGGACCUCUCUGUCUUUUCCUGUAUCCUUUUCUCUAACCGGCUAGCCGGCUGUAACCCAUCUCUAUCAAUGAAAUAGGCAUAAUCUCGUGCCUUUUCCUUUCAAAAGAAAUAUAUAAUCCUAUCAGAUAACUUAUAAAACAACAUGUACUUGUUGUCCGUUAAGCCAUCUCAAAAUUAUGUGCCGGUCACCGCUAGCGUGUCGCUGUCGAGGGCCAUGUCACAUACUAGUAUACCACUGAAAAAUAGCGUGAACUAAAUCUUGGAAUAAUUUAGAAAAAUACAAACACUCGUGCCAAGUCAAGGUGGCCAUGUUCCAUCAUAAAGAAUAUACGCUCUCUUCGCAUUUAUGAAUUCUUUAGUUAUCCGCUGCUCGGAGGAUUAUACCAGGCAACACCCAUCGGCCCUUCUCUUGUAUUACUAAAAUGGGUCUUGCUAAGGUACUCCCAGAUAAACAUGGAUCUAUCCUUAAAAAUAAACAUGGACAGUAGAUCUAAAGACAUAUUACCGGUAAUAGAUUAAAUAUUUAUUAUAUAUGCAUAGGGGCAAAUAUAUUCCUAUUAGAUGUAACUUCCAUGUAUUAUUGUAUUGGAUCUAGUGAUUCCUUUUUCCCCCUCACGUGAACAUGGCCCGCAACAAAUCUAGAAAUUUCGAAAUUUCGUAUUCCUUGGUCCUCACGAGAGACAUCUUAGGGAUUAUUUUUGUUCACGUUAUAAUUUGGGAAAAGCUAUAGCUCAUCCAGGUGGAAUAGAGCUCUCCCUCACCCAAAUUUUUCUCCCUCUCCAUCUGCACACCAUUUCCCCUUUAUUCUCCAACUCCGGCGAGCUUAGGAGCACGGGGCUAGGGGUUAGGGGUUUCCAGGGUGGGUGCUCACCGACGAUCCUAGAGGGAAGGCCGGCAGCGGUAGGCCAGCCCAGCGGAGGUGGCGGGCGCAGGGGUGGUGAGGCGCAGCGGCGGGGGCGCCGCCGGUUGGGCAAUGGUGGAGGGCGGUUGGACGGUGCCAGGGCGGGGGCGACGUAGCCGAUGGCGGCGGGGGCAGGGGCGGUGGCGGGAUGGGCAAGAAGGCGGCAGAGACGACAGUGGUGUCUACUAAGAGGGCGGUGGCGUUGGCAGGGGCGGAGGGACGGAGGAGGGAGGGGCGGUAGUGGGAGGGCGGGCCUCGCUAGCGCCAGGGAUGGUGUCGAUGAGGCAGCAGGCUGUGUCGGGUGGAGAUAGGAGGCAGUGGGCGGCGCCGGGUGGAUAAGGUGGAGGAGGCCGGUUUGAUCUCGGCCGUUGAUUUCAGAUCGUAUGUUCAAAAAAUUGAGUGAGGGAAGAGUUAUUUUCACUCGGGUGAGACAUAGACAGCCUAAUAAUUUUGCAGACUAUAGGUGCCAUGUAAUAUAACAUAUGGAUGUGUAACGUCGUUCUAAAUUUCAACAUGAAAACUGUGGAAUUUGUUUUAACUUCAAAUGUGUAUGGAAUUUCAAUAAUUAUUAACAGCCGGUGUAAUUGUGUUACUAGCAAAUACGUCAUAGCUUUGUACAAAUUUUGUGUAACCGCACACAUGAUUUUGUGCACCAAACACCAAACACGUAGAUGAAAAGUUUAUGGCGGCAGGCAUGCAUGCAUGCAUGUGUAUGGCCGGGAGGAGAUAAUGCUCAGAUAUAUUAACGGCUUGUGUAUGACUGGACUAAAUAAAGGAGAUAAUGGCGCAGAUAUAUUAACGGCAUGCAUGCAUGUGUAUGACCAGGACUUGAGGAGAUAAUGGCGCUGCGAUUUUUUUCUUUAUUUUCUAAUUGAUUUAAUUCACAUCUUACCUCCUUAGAGGUAAAAGGAGUAUCGUAGCAUUGCUUUACUAAAAUUUUAUAGUUGGGUUUAGCACAUAGGUAAUCAAUCCAUUUAAAUAAUCUUUUUUUCCAUGAACUUGGGUAAUUUGUUUUAGGUAUAUAAAAUUCUGUGCCACUUGAACAAUUUUUUUUGAACAACUUUAUCAUAAGUUGAAAUAGUUUUCUCCUUAACCUUGAAAAUUUGUUCCAAUGUCAUCAAAAAAGUAUUUCACAUUCAUAAAAAAUGUUUUGAAGAAUAUAUCAUCCUAACAUAAUUUAAUUUGGACUUCCAGUUUGGAAUACAAGCUAAUGAUAUCACAAAAAUUUGUUUUUCCUUGCACGCAAGAGGGAAAGAGAGUGAUCUAGAGGAGGGGUGGGUACUAUGCCUGCUAUAGUGCUAUAAAUCGUUUUUUCACUAAAAAGAAGUUAGGUAUUACCAUGAACACCUAGGAAUUAGGGGGCAACCCCUCCUGAUUCCUCCCCACCAUCAACUUGGCCGCAGCGAUGUCCUUUCUUGUGCCGACGGCACAGCUAGUUGACGACCCGAGUCCCUAGUGGUUCCCCUCACCAUCAUCACUGUCGUGGGCCAAGCAGUAGCAGCAGCGCCGUGAUGGUGCUUGCGGUGGCUCCAGUGGUGACGAGAUCUCGGCUGGGAGACCACUAUCGGGGAAAGAACCUUUCAUCCCGCACCUUAGUACCGGUUGGUUUUUGACCCGGUACUAAUGCUCACAUUAGUACCAAGUCUAACACGGAGCCUCCCUGGACCCCUUUAGUACCAGGUCGGAAGUCAAUCCGGUACUAAAGGCCACCCUUUAGUAUCGGGUAGAGGCUCUUCCCACCCGGUACUAAAGAGCUUUUCCGUCACUCCCCCGACCCAUUGGCCUGCUCCCCUCUCUCCUUAUCCGCUCCCCCUCCCUCCCUCCCUCUCUCACUCCUUAUCCGCCUGGCACCGGUCUCCCUCCUCCCUCCCUCCUUCUCUCACUCCGCUCCCCUCCCCUUCCUCCACUUACCCCCUCCUCCGCUCACUCCGCUCCCCUCCCCUUCCUCCACUUACCCCCUCCUCCGCUCACUCCGCUCCCCUCCCCCCUCCUCCGCUCGCCCCAAUCCCCUCCCCUUUCCGCUUGCCCCUCACCGGCAGUGAGGAGCAGCGGCGAGGCGAGGUGAGACAGCGGCGCGGAUCUAUGGGAGGGUGGCGGGAGCAGCGGGAUGGCGGCAGCAGUGGGAGGGCGGGGGCGAUAGUGUCGAGCGGGCGGGUGGAUGCGGUGGCGGCGCUCGAGCCCCCCUCACUCUCUCUCUCUCUCUCUCUCUCUCUCUCUCUCUCUCUCUCGCUCUAUCUAUCUAUCUAUCUAUCUAUCUAUCUAUCUAUCUAGGAUGCGGUGGCGGAAGGCGUGGCGGGCAGCAGCAGGAGAGCGCGGUGGGAGGACGGCGGCGAGAGGCCUCGAUCUCGGGCAGCGGCGGGGGGCUCGAGCGAGGGGGGGGUGCGGUUCGGGCUCGGGCUCGGGCCGGCGGGGUGGGAUUUCUUUUUUUAUUUCUUAUACCUCUUUUCAACCGGUACUAAAGGGGCCUCCUUAUUUCUGGAGUAGCAAUACCGGUUGUGAAACCGGUACUAAAGGGGGUUCCCAACUGGUACAGAAGGCCAUUUCCCCAGUAGUGGACUGACGACUGCCACCCUUGUGCAGCCCUCGUGAUCGCCAUCCCAGAGCAAGAGCAGCAUGGCGAGCGCGAUGAUAGGAGCCUUCAGGAAGGUUAGGAGAUAAAAUAGGAGAAGGGAGGGAGGUGAAACGACUCAUCAACUUGGACCACCAAGGCUUGUGCGAACAUGCAUUAGUGGCAAGCUCACUGCAUUCCCAUGAAGCCAGGCAACAGCCCUCAUUUGCACUAUCAGGGCCAUGCUUAGGGCAAUCCUAACCCUCACCUCAUCUAGUGCCCAUAGAAUUAAUUAGUGUGCCACGUAAGUAAAAAUAUGAUGUGGCAAGAAAAUUAAUGAGGAGAGAGAGAGGAAAAGUUGAAGACCUGAACGGUGUCGACACAUGCAUCAAGGAGAGAGGAAACAUCGAUCUUGCGAUCAGGGCGAGGGGAGUUUCUUUUCCAUGCAUUUUGUGGGCCCCAUCGCUUGGAAAAGGGUAGCCCUGCCGUUGUCUGCGCCGGAGGGCUCACCGCCGAUGCUUGUGACCCCAUUGCCACCGCCCGUGGCCCUGAGGUACAUCGUGACGCCUGCGAACACCUGCUCGGGAGGGACCCAUUGCGGCUGGUGUAGGUAGGGUUGCUCUAGGUCGGCAGGCCACCGACAGCAUCCUGAAACGUCAUAGAGAAGAAGAAAGAACAACACGUAUGAGAUUGGAAAAUCUAGGUCAAAGGAGAAAUAGUAAAAAAGAUAAAAGUUGUAGAUUUGUUUGUGUUUGAUCGAUUGGACACCCUAAAUCGGCUGUGGCUCUUUAUAUUUAUAGGGUGAAGAGGUCGUACCCGCUUGAAGAUUGUUUACAAAUCAAAUCCCAUACAAAUCUCCAAUUCCUACCUGGUUUACGUAAAAACCGGUUUAGUCUAUUUCCAAAAUCGGCUUAGCUGAUUUCCCACUGAGGCAAUCUUUCCAGGGUCUUAUCUCCCUCAUCUGAACUUUAAAUUGCACGUUCUACAUAUGCAUUCAGAUCGCCUCGACGAGAUCUAUACAAUGGUGGAGUCCAAUUUAGUGUUUAGCAAUAUUACCAAAAACCAGUCAAGCCAGUUUGGGAAACUAGGCCGGUUUCCCAGGUAGCUCCGGCAAACCUUCACCACUGAAGAAUUGACAUUCCAUCCAGCCCCUUUAAUUCUGGUUAACAUUAGACCCGUAACUAAAGUGACUUUAGUCCUAGGUCAAAACUAUGCUACCGAAGGCCACGGGGGGGGGGGGUGAGGGCUUUAGUACCAGUUCUAAAUACCAAUCGGGACUAAAGCCCCUCCUUUAGUCCCGGUUUUAAUGGCUAGAAAUAUCACACCGAAGACCGCAUCCAACCGGGACAGAAUGGGUGGUACUUUCUCCCUAUAAAGGGGUGGAAAUUUCAACCAGGAUAAAAUCUCCUCCCCUAUCAAUCCAACCAACCCAAGAGUCCUUCUUCCUCCCCCAGCCCGAGCCACCACCAGAGAUCGAGCUCCACCUGUCCUCCUCUCCAUGGUGAGCAAGCAACCUUAGGGGAGGUGUUGCCCAAAUUUUUUUCCUCAUUUCCGUGGGGAUUUUACUCAUCCAAAGUGUUGUGAAGGUUAGCUACUUCAUCCUCCCUUCAUUUAUUAUUAUUAUGCUUUGUUUUAUGCUUUAGAGAGGGAGAAAAAUAAGCUUUUUAGAAUGAGGGAGAAUGGAGAGGAUUUUUGUUUAUACAUGUUUUUGAGCUAGAAUUUGAUGGAUAGCUGGCUUAUUAUAUAUGAUUCAUAUUAGUUAAAAGAACUUGAUCAAUAUUAGGUAUGGGAAAAAAUAGAGUAAAUGUGUUUUUAAUAUUUAGUCAUUGCAAUAAAAUUAAGGUAAAUAAAUUGUAGGUCUAAGAAAAUAGAAUGUGGUCAUUGCUAAAAAUUUUCAUGUCACUGUAAUUUAACAAUAAUUGUAUUUGUUUAAUCAAUAAUUAAUUUAUCUCAUGUUUAAUGCAAAAACUAAAUAUUAUAAACACAAUUACUCUAUUUUUCCCUACCUAAUAUUGAUUAAGUUAUUAAUGUAAUACGAAGCCCUAUAUUCAUUUUUCAUGUAAUACGAUGCAGAUGACCAGCAAUUGAUGUACCACCUCCGCUCCUCUAAUCCCAGAGAACAGUGUUUGCACAUGGUAUGAAUGUGCUUACACUAUUCUCUGCACAUAACUCAACUUUCUACGAAGUUUAUGGAGAGUCAUCUUCACUCCUCUAGUACCAGAAAAUAAUGGUAGAACAGAAGAGCUUCGAGUCCACAAACUCAGGCUGAAUAUCAUAAAAGAAUCUUAAAAUAGUAUUCCAAACGUUGUUGUAUAAGAUCAGAUGAGAUGAUCCUGGUGAUGUUGAGGAGCAGCCUCCCAAUAAGAGAGUUCUCACGAUCAGAUCUCUUAAUACACUAACUAAAGCACCACAGCUAAACAAACGUACCCAUCGAUCUAGCUCCGAUCAUGACCAACAUAUCCAUAACCCAAUAAUCCUAGCUAAACCGAUCGAUGUAGCUUUGAUCAUGACUAUUGAGAAAUCAACGUCCAAAUCUUGACACCAACUCACUAGAAGUGGCACCAAAGUGGUGUGACACCACCACUACUAGCGAAUGGACCUCUUGUCCACUCCCUAAGUACCGGUCAUAUUUGUACCUAGUACUAAUGUUAGCAUUAGUACCGGGUCUAAAUUUGGGAUCCCCUAGAGGCCCUUUAGUACCGUGUAGGAGCUCCACCCGGUACUAAAGCCAUCCCGCCACCAUCCCAAAGAAAUUAAAGCAAGGCAUGCACGGUAGGCCCCUUAUCCUCUCUCAGCUCCUUCCUCUCUCCUUAUCCUCUCUAGCUCCUUAUUCCUCUCUUCGUUCGCAGCAGGAGCUUGAGCACUGCCUCCCUUCCCCUCCCCCCUUCGCUCGCCCCUCACCGGCGCAGUAAGGAGCAGCGGCGGAGCGAGGUGAGGCAGCGGCGGCGGCCAGCGGUAGGCGGCGACGGCGGGUGGGAGCGGCAGCGAGCGGGCAGGCUGGCGCGUGCGGCAGGAGCGAAGGAGGGUGGUGGGAGGCCGAGGCUGGCGCGGGGGCCGGCGGCGGGGCGACAGGGGCCGAGCGGGGAUUUUGUUUUUUUUUAAUAUCCUUUAGUACCCGUUAUUUCAACUGGACCGGUACUAAAGGACCCCCUCUAGUACCGAAUUGCCAGUACCGGUUGCGAAACUGAUACUAGAGAAACCGAUACUACAGGGGGAUUUUCAACCGGUACUAAAGCCGUUUUCUCUAGUAGUGCAUUUCUUUUGUGAAUCUUAUACCCAUACUACUUUGAGGAGACCUUCACACCAAACUAAUACGGGAGACCAACUCUUUAUAAGGAAUUAUUCGCUCAAUUUGAUACACUUCGACACAGAAUAAUGCAAGUCCCUUGACAAAAACAAGCACAAGCAAACGCUAAACUGAAGCAUUAAGCGCAGAACGGCAUAUGGUCGAACACCCUGCGCGCGUCAGUGCCCGGCGGGGUGGCCGCCGCCGAGAUCCUUGAGCCGCGCCGCAGCCUUCUCCCCGUCUAUUGAGUACUGCAAGGCAGCCAGGAAAACGUUGGUUGCUUAGACGACAACUCGGUCGAGAUCGGUCGGGGUGGUGAAGCAGCGAUACUACGUGGGGAUACCUUGGAGAGGACCCAUGACGAGUGGGUGUAGGCGCGGCGGAGGAGGGCGGCGAGGUCGUCGUCGGCGGAGAGGUCGCGGUAGUUGACGAAGUUCUCGCGGGCGUAUUUGGCGUAGUAGGGCCGCGUCUCCGCCGGCAGCCGCCGCACCAGGCGGAGCACCUCGCGGUACGCGCGCAGCCCCGCGUUCAUCGGCAUCGCCGCAGGUCGUCGAGGGGAGCUGCUGACAGCUCAGGAGAGAGUGGUUUGGAAGGGGCACUGCUACUACUUUUCCAAGGCCGGCCUAGUCUACCCAAUUUCGCGGCCCGGCCCAUUUGGCGCCGGCCCUUUCUUCCGUCUCCGAAGAAAGCAAUCCAACUCCACGGAAAAAGCGCGCGAAAAUGCAAACACCCAUUGCUCUACAUGGUCGCUGCUCUCUGCCACUGCAAUUGGCCCAGGACGCGGGCAGUUCGUCCUCUAUCUCUAUGACUCCAGGCCCGGAACAUGGGCGACGCACGCCGUCUCCGUGGAGGACCGGCAGUUUCAGAAGUAUCAGCAGGAGGAGGGCUACUUCCUGCACAACAACAGCAAGGUGAUCGCUAUCGGAGGAGAAGGCGGGACCAUGGGCUUCGUCGACCUCCAUCGCGGCAUCCUGCUCUGCGAUCUGCUUCAAGCCAAAGACGGCCAUAGGUUUGGCUACAUCCGGCUUCCACGGCCACUCCGGUCAGACGCAAAGCUCCAGGGCGAUGCACGGCUUGCUCGGGACAUUGCCGUCGUCGGAGAUCGCAUCAAGUACGUCCAGCAGCAGCUUCACUGGAAGCCUUGCCCAACCUACGUGAAUCACUACAUCCCAGAUGGCUUGCUGGCUGCCACAUGGAGCAGGCUGGCCCAGUGGAGGAUCCUUGGGAGAGCCACCACAAGAUCCAGUCAUCCGAGAUGGACAUCAGCAACCCGCAGUUCGAGCUCCUCCCGAAGCGGCGUGACGACGAAGGCAGGCCAGUGCCACCCUUCAAGAGGCUCAGCAUAUGCCAGCCCACACUCAGCUUGAAGGAGGGUGAUGAUGCUACUGUUUGCUUCAUGGUCAAGAUGGACAUACUGGACGAGGAGGCCUGGGUGAUUGCUGUAGACAUGAAGAAUAACAGAUUACAAGGAGUUGUUGAGUUUGACGCAACGAGAACCGCCUGUUUGGGUUUCGUCUAUAUGCACAGCGGGGUAUCCAGAUAUCUGGACAGGAUUUCAGAUAAUUCUGUCGGUGUGAAUCCCUAAUUUAAUUGUGCGAACAAAUGUACAGAUCUGCAGGAAACAAAUGCAUACACAUAAGCACGUCUCUAGCUACUACCAGAAUAUAAGUUGUACAUUCGUAUUGCUUUUUUUUAGGUGAUUGUAUACUUGUAUUGCUGAUUGAUACAUUGGAUGAUUGCCACAAUGUAGUUGGAAGGGGGGAAAUUAACCAUCAUUUAUACAUAAGAGAGACUUAUCUCAUCAGUUAGCUCAAGCACAUGAAAAGCAACCAAUUUUCCCAAACUCAUUUGAUAUUGCUAGAGAAUACGAAAGUAUAUUGCAGCUACAGUCCUAGGUGAGGACAUCAUUGAUACUAGAGCAAUCUGGUCAGCAAAUAAAGACUUAGGGGUCGGGUAUGGACACAAGCAAACCAUGAUGUGAAAGGAUAUAUGCUUGAUGCCCAGUUAGAUCCCAUUGGAGCAUGUAGGACUUUUACUGAUGACAUCUAGAACUUUGAACAGCCACCGGAGCAGUUCUCUAAAAUGUGUCUACCAGGCUACAAACAGGGAACCCUACUUGUUACAAUAUAAUUGCUAGUUGGGGUAGGAGGUGGGCGAGCAAAUGAAUACUGGAUAUUUCUGUACUUUUUGGAUCAAAAGUCUGUGGGUGCUCCCACAAUAAUAAAAUGUUCAGAGUUUUAACUAGAGACUCUGGCAAUGAAAACAGCAAGGUUGCUUAAGCUUUGAAAAAAGAGCAGAUCAUUUGAGUGGUGUGCCCUGCAUUCUAAAACUAGACUAGAACCAUAUCAAGCAGAGUACUCAUAUUAAAACUAGAACCAUAUCAGAUUUAGAUAUUUCGAAUUUAGGUAGAGUCAGAAUAGUCAAGUAUAUAUGGAAUGCACAUUAACUAUCAUUUAAUCAAUGUAUUUGUGAUUUAAUUGUGUCACCAUAAUUUCCAAAAUACUGGGCCGAAUGGGGCUUAAAUUAACAAAACAAUGAUCAUGUAGAUAAGCAACUUAACCUUGAUAUUCAUAUUAGUUUCAUUCAGUAAAUCCAAACAAAUUCCUGGUUGCCAUAGUUUGUAGUUUUCUCAAUUUCUGGUUGACAUGGUCACAUUGUCAGAAUAUUGUGCAAGAAAAUGUGGUGCCCUCUCCAGGGCCAAACAAAUAUUAUGCAUAACUCAAAAUGCCUGGAGGUAAUCACAAGUUCACAACAAUAAGGGACCAGACUUUUCAGUUCGUGAAUCUUACCUGAACCCAUUGUUUUAAUUUGUUGAUCUUACCUGAACCCAUUGUUUCAGGAGUUCUGAACCACUUGGCUUCAGAUUUCAGAAAGAAAGUAAACAUGGUGAACAAUCUGGCAGUUAGAUAUGUUUACUCUUGCAUAUAGAUUAUCUUCAUCUCAUAGUCAUGUUCUAAUUAGAUAGUAUGACAUGAACAAUGGGUAGCCUUAUCAUUUCAAGGUCCUACACGGCAAUAACUACGGAAAUAUCGGAGCGGAGGGGCAUGCUAAACCACUGCACAACAAAAGUUUGUGCCCCUUCUUUUCUUUGCUUUCAUUUCUUCAGUAGUCGGUUCUUCUUAUAUGUUGGACUGUAUCAGGCUGUUUUUGAGGCACAACUGAGGGUCAACGGCCCUGAUAGCAGCAAUUUGUUAUAGCACAUAUGAGAGUUCAAAUGCGGAUAUGAACUUGUGUCAUCUGAUUAAAUGCGAUGCCUCACACAGAGUGCCUAUGGACUACGGCCACAUACAGAUUCCAUUAGGCCAUAGGUACGGCACUGUCCCAAAAUAGAGAUAGUAAAAUUUCUUAGGAUGAGAGCUCAAUGCAAUUUCACAGUUUUCAAACUCAACUGGUCAGCUUGGUGUCUCAGGAACUCAACUGGAGACCGACUGAAUUCAGUCUGGAGCUCUAUGUAGCAGAAAAUCAUCAUGUAUGAUAGUGCUGUGAGGAACAACACGAUCAUGUUUUGGUCUGUGGAUUCCCCUUGUCCAGAGCCAUUGAUGACCCAAAGCAAUGAAUCAUACAUCCUAGCAUCUUAUUCAGAAGAAGUGUGUAGAUCUACAGAAGACAUGUAAGGGGAAAGGGGGAAAUGUUUUGAUUCCGAGGAAGCACGAGCUCGUACAGCGAUCUGAGAUGGCGGCCGUCCUCUCCUCUCCUCUCCUCUCUAGGAGGACUGCGUCUUCGACGUGGUGUUGGGGCCGGGGGAGCAGGAUGACCGGAAGGCGUCGAUGUGCGCCUGGCACUUGACGCGGUCGCCCUUGUUCUCCUCCAGGCACCUCCGCAGCGCCUCCACGUCGCACGCCGCCGCCCUAGGCUGCUUUGUCUCGUCUCUCCCUCUACUGCCGGCCACCGAAGCAGAUGGCGCCGCCGCCGCUUCCAUGGUGGGACACUGGGGGUCUCCCUCGCCGUCUCCAGAUCGAGUCUGGGCAAGGGAGUCUGCUAGGGACAAGAUGACGUAAUAACCAAAAUACGCCUUCAGACCUUCAGAAGAAAAAACGCCUUCAGAAACCCGCAAACCGCAAUGCGUGCAUCCUGGACUCACAAAAUAUGGAGACCUGCACCAGACUUUCU